CCAUUAAACCUCUUUUUCUUAAAUUACCCAGUCUCCAGUAUGUCUUUAUCAGCAGCAUGAAAAUGGACUAAUACAGUGGGGGUGCCCUGUUGUGUAGAGGAGGGAGACCUAUUUUUGUCAGAAGGGUGGGAGCAGAGGGGCUAUCACUUCUUGGGAGAACUGACACUUAAGGCCUUAGAAAAGCAGAUAGAUAUAGCUGUGUGGAAAUAGAAAAAAAAAGUCAUUGCAAGAAAGAGAAAUAACCAGAGAACUUAGCUUCACAGAGACCAUAGCAACAGCGCGGAACCUGAGCACUUCAUAGACACCUUUGGAUAGCGACGGGAAGAAUAAUGCAAUGUCUGAAGAGGAAAUAAUGGAAGUUAAAACCUGAAACAAAGUGAAAAUCAGAAUGACCUAAUAGUUACAGUGGGGCACCAGUUUUCAUUGUCUAAUCGUCGUUUGGUUUAGAGUGGAAACUUAAUACCUUUAUUUUUCCCAGCACAAAACUAAUUGCAAGAAUUAACUGGUCGUUCUCGAGGUCCUCCUUGGACGUCGGGUGCAGUGCCUGUAUUUUGGUUCAGAAUCACUGGCAGGAGGGGCUGCUGAAUCACCUCUCGGUUUCGAGGAUAAUGGGGCUGCUACAGACAGUUUCAGCAGGCUAGAGAGCACUUCAGUUCUUGUACAAUGGAAACCAAGCAGAGCAUUAGAAGGGGACAAGCUCAUUGUUCAGAGGGGACCCAGGGCGGGCUGAACAGAAGAGUGGCUUAUUCAGAGCCCUGCAGGCGUGGCCAGCUGACAGGUGUCCCCGCUGUCCCUUCUUCUUGUGUCUGUGUGUCUCUGUGUUAUGGUCUCUAUGUGUUUGAAAUGUGUUCUUUAUUUUAUUCGUUUAAUUCAUUUACUAAUCUCGCUUAUUUUGUUAAUGAAAAGAAUAAAGUCUUUUUUAUAUUUUCCCAUUUCCAAACUCCCUGUCCCUCUCCCCCAUAUUCCAUUCACCCAUCAAACUUAAAAUUAGGUUACUUUAUUAAAACAUCACCCUUGGAUGAUUUGUUGUAAUGAGUCAGUGAUUCAUAAUUAAAGACAUUCCUCACCCCUGAUCUGACCCUUCAUCUGGUCUCUGAUGGUUUCAUCCCAAAACGACAUAGGCACCUCUGCUCUUGGUAGCUUCAUGCCUUCUGCUGAAAGCUGCCACAAGCCAUGCUGAUUUUAUUUCCUCCUUCUGCCCUCUUGGCCUUGUAGGCCCUGUUGGCCUCAGAGCUCCCCACGGGGUUUUGUUCAGAGAGGAGCUACUGCCUGACCAUUUUGGCCUGCUUUUAUUUCUAGCUCUUCCUCUAAGCAGGUGUUCCCUGGGCCUACCCUCCCCACCACACCUGCAAGCAUUUCUUUGUGAUAACAUCUCUGUGUGUCCAGUCCUGGAUUAGGCUGGAGAUCCCCAGGGGAUGUCCAGGUCCCACCCUCUCAACCACUCACAGCCCGUUCUGUGGUCAGACCACGAGUCCUAGCCCUUCUUGGAAAAGGCUGCUUGGCCCACCCACUCUAAGAAGCCCAGCCACUGUCAGCACAGAUGAAACCACUGGUUUUACAAACCUUUCCAGUGACUCACUUGACACCCUUACACCCUUCUGGUCAUUCUUCCCUCUUCGUUUUCUCCAUCACUGUAGUAUUGGGCCACUAAUUAUUAUCAACUCUGUGUCCCUAGUGCAGUGGUAGAAUUAAAAUAAAUUAUCUAACAUAUUUUAUUUCCAUUCACUUCUGUUGGUUGUUGUUGUUAUUGUUGUUGUUGUUGAGAUGGAGUCUCGCUCUUGUCGCCCAGGCUGGUGUGCAGUGGUGUGAUCUUGGCUCACUGCAACCUCUGCCUCCCGGGUUCAAGUGAUUCUUCUGCCUCAGCCUUCCAAGUAGCUGAGAUUACAGGCAUCCACUACCCCCCUCAGCUAAUUUUUAUGUAUUUUUAGUAGAGAUGGGGUUUUGCUGUGUUGGCCAGGCUGGUCUCGAACUUUUGAUCUCACGUGAUCCAUCCACCUUGGCCUCUAAAAGUGCUGGGAUUACAUGCUUAAGCCACUGCGCCUGGCCAUGCAUUUACUUCUGACAACUCACACUGGACGAGCUAAUGUAAUGGAAGGACUUAAAGGCAUUUUCAGCCCGCAGAGGAGGAUUGUGUUGCCUUAGACUCCCACCUACCCACCCCCACAGCUUAAAUAGGGCUAAAGGAAAGCAGGUCUUCUGCUGUGAGAUGCAUGCUGUUCCUCCCUGUGCACCAAUGUACAUGCAAUCCGUAGAAUGUGCAUGAAGUUGACACGAUUGUUAGAUGACUUGCUUUGAGGAAUACCAGUUUCCCAUGUUCUAGGUUGGCUUCAUGUCCAAACUUACUUGGGAGUAAUUGCGUUUAUUACCCAUUCUCCACAACCCUUACCCCCUCCCAUAACUCUGCUACAAACUUUUACUGCUGAGAUGUGUGAGAUACCUCACCUUGGUUGUCUUUCAUGCCAUGAAAGGCUCAAGAGGAAGUUAUAGUGGAAGGAACACUGGAUUAUGAGUCAAGGGACCUGGGUUCUGGUCUCAGCCCUUCACUUGGUAAACUUUGUGACCUUGGACAAGCCAUGUGGCAUACCUAGAGCUUCAUUUGCAAAUUAAGGAGCAGACCUCAGCAAUGGCAAAGAUUCCCUAUCUGGUACCAGCUCUGAUCCACUCUAGCAACUUCCCCCAAAAUAGGUCAGAAUGGAUUUUGAUGCUUAGUUCUGGCUCAGUGGAGAAAGAGUGUUACCUUCAGCCAGCUGUGUCUGCUGUGGGUGCAAGGAGAGGACAGAGUGGGUGGAAGGCGCUGAAGAUCCCCAUCCCCAAACAAGAUGAUUUUCCAAGGUCCUAUGGAUCUUAGGGAGGCAAUACAAUAUAUUAUAGGUUUGGACAACCUGGAAGUGAACCCUGUGUUGGUUUCUUGGGCAGCUGGCUUAACUUCUCUUUAGGAGUCAUAACAAUGCUUGUCUCCUGGAGUCCUGGCGAGGAUUUGGUGGUUUCACAUUAGUCAAGCACAUAGGACAGUUCAUGCUAAAUUCCCAAUCAAGGUUAGCUAUUGAAAUAUUUUACAAAACUGCAACUCUUAGGAAAAUAGGGCUAAAAUCCUCCGAAUGUGGUUUCCUUGCGCUCUUCACCUUCCUGGCUCAAAGGCCUCUUGCCCAUCUGUUAGGGCAGUUCUCAGGAUGGGGCAAAGGCUGAGGAUGCCCAGAGCCUGUUGGAUGUAUACAUAAAUCUGAAAGAGAAUUCAUGCAUAUCUUUAUCUCAGACACUUUUAAUUCCUCAUAAAUAGGACUGCUUCCUUGAGAAGUUCACCCAGCUCAUAAGUACCAAGCUGUACUCGAUACUCUCAAAGUGUAUAUUCACAGCAGGUACACACAUAGCUGUGUGAAAGAGCACAGACUUUAGCAUCACAUCAAACUGGGGCUGAAUCCCUCCCUCUCUGGGCACCAGCUCUCUGACCUUGUGCCUCAGGUUUGAUUGUAAAAUGGGCCUGUGAGAUGUGUUUCUCACAACCCCAUUUUACAAUCAAACCUGAGGCCCAAGGUCUUUGUGAUCUUUGUAAUCUUGGUGAAGAUUAAAGAACUGUGAAUGUCACAGUCACUCUGGUGCCUGACACCUCACAAAUGCUCCAUAUGACGUCAGCUUUAGCCUUCAAUGUUUCAUGCCUCAGGUUUCUGACCAUUCAUUCUCAUAGGUAUAUUCCAGUUGAAAAAACUUCCAAAACCCUCCAAAGGAGCAUUUUCCCAAACACCUUCCUUUCUCAUGAUUUCCAUUUUCAGUGUCACCCUCUGAUAUGACCAGGAUGUCACUACCAGACUCUUGUGUCUGGCCACAGCCUCUGGUCUGGAGUCUUGGCACCCCUUACCUCUCUGUAAGGGCCAAUGAAUCCCAGGUUUUGUUUGGAUUUGCCCUGACCCUCGCCCACUCAUUGCUUUCCCAUUUGGUUGGAGCUUGAAGCCCCUGGGCUCUUUGGCCUCUUCUAUCUAAUCUGCUCCGCAAGCUGACUCUUUUGUCCAUUUUGCAAAGGAGGGCAUCCACCUAAUGCAUAAAUCUCCUGAUUCUCACCCUCAGGCAUACACAUUAAAAAAAAUUAGCAAUGACAGAAAAGGAAAAUAAGAAAACCUCUCUCCAUUCCCCCCAACCCCUAAGUCCUAAUUGCCUUCUGUCCUCUUUGGGCCUGCAGAGGCCCUCUGGUUUCAAGGAGGGGCCCUGUAUUCUUGGCAUCAUUUGUCUUAUUGUUCUGCACUGAGUUGUUUGUAAAGCUAUUUCUGUAACUACAGUAAUAGAGUCAGCUAGCUGCUUUUGCUUAAAAUCAGCGGUGAGUUUAAAGGGCUGCUGGUCUGCAGCUCUGAUCUCUCAAGGUUUUAUGUGGUCACUGAGAACAUGCAGAACACAGUCUUAAGUUACUUUUAAAAUACAAGGAAAUGCAAUUUAAAAAGAAGGCUUUGGUUGAUUCUGAUCUUUGCCAUCUCUUGAGAUUCCAAAUUUGCCCAAUCUCUAGUUACCCCCCUUCUUCCCCAGUGGCUAUAGCCUGGUGUGGAAUCUGGGAAAAUACCAGUCAGAUAUCCUGUAUUUUCCUGUCUGACUUUAAUUUCAGCUCUUCCCGCUACCCGUGUAUAGUAACCAUUUUAACCAAAAUCCAGUGAUGCACACUGAGAAAAUGGCAGUUUUGUGAACAGAAACAGAGGAGUCAGGAAAUUGAGGCCUUUAUUAAGAGCUUCCUCCAGGCCAGAUCCCUGCUGGGGUGUGUGUGGGCUUAAUCUCAUGUUUCAGGGUAACUGUUCAGUAGGAGGUGGAAACUGAGGCUGGACUUUGGAAGAGGGGAAUCAGGGUGGGGAGGAAGCUUAUGGGCAUAGGUUAUGGGCAUAGAUGAGCUUUGCAGGAGGGUGUAGAAUGGAAAAGAGGAAAAGGGUCCAGAGAGCUGACCCAUAUUUAAGAGCUAGGUUUACAGCAGUGAGAGAAGUAGUAGCAAACAGCAGUGGCCGUGAAGAAGCAGCGGCUCAGUCCGAAACUGGGGAAAUCACUGAAAUGAAAGGUGCAGAGUUUCACAAAGAGGGAAGGGACAGGAGCCCCCUCAUAGAAGAAUAGGAGGCCAAUUUCAGCAAAACAUUUCAGGGCUCUGGGGUUUUGUAUUAGCAUGCCUCUUUCUCGCUCCUCAAAUUAGGAUUAUUUUUAUUUUUUUAUUUUUUUUUGAGACAGAGUCUUGCGCUGUUGCCCAGGCUGGAGUGUAGUGACGUGAUCUCGGCUCACUGCAACUUCUGCCUCCCAGAUUCAAGUGAUUCUCUUGCCUCAGCCUCCUGCGUAGCUGGGACUACAGGUGUGCGCCACCAUGCCCGGCUAAUUUUUGUAUUUUUAGUAGAGACAGAGUUUUCACCAUGUUGGCCAGGCUGGUCUCAAACUCCUGAUCUCAGGUGAUCUGCCCACCUCGGCCUCCCAAACUGUUGGGAUUACAGGCGUGAGCCACCGCACCCGGCUUAAUUUUUGUUUCUAAUGUCAGUCCCCCCUGCCCACCCCAAAUAAUAUCUAUUGCUUUUAUUACCAAAAUAAUAUGUCUUUGUUACAGAAAAUAGACAAUCUAAAGAUAUAAUUACUCCUAAUUUUACCAUCCACAUGUAACACCUAUAAGUUUUUUUAAUUGAAGUGAAACUCAUAUAAAAUUAAUGAUUUUACAGUGUACAGUUCAGUAGCAUUUAAUAGUCGCAGCAUUGUGCAACCAUCACUUCUUUUUUUUUGAAACAGAGUUUCGCUCUUGUCACCCAGGCUGAAAGUGCAGUGGUGCGAUCUCGGCUCACUGCAACCUCUGCCUCCCGGGUUCAAGCAAUUCUCCUGCCUCCCAAAGUAGCUGGGAUUAGAGGCACCCACCACCACACCCAGGUAAUUUUUUUGUAUUUUUAGUAGAGACGGGGUUUCACCACGUUGGUCAGGUUGGUCUCGAACUCCUGACCUCAGGUGAUCCACCCGCCUCGGCCUCCCAAAGUGUUGGGAUUACAGGCAUGAGCCACUGCACCCAGCCUGCGUUAUUUCUUUGUACUAGCCUUAUGCAUUCGAUAUGGUUACUCCCAUUUGUAGAUGGGAAAAACAAGGUCUGAAGCAAUUGUUCUGCUCUAAGUCACAGAAACUUGGACUCACACCAGUCUUUACUUCAAAGUGGCAUAAAUAUUUCUAAACAGUUUUCUACUUUAGAUAAUUGGAUGUUCUACAGUGUUUUGCAGACUAGGGCUGAGGGAGAAUCCUGUUAUGUUUAUAAGUAAUUGACAAUAAGAGAAAAAGAUGGAAAUGAAAACUUUGUCUUCUUUCAUUUAAGUCAUUAAGGUGCUUCAUUUUCCCUCCUGGUUCCUACACGGUUCACUCUAUGAUUUUUAAAAACUCGAUAGAGAAAAAAGGAAAUCCUAAAAUUAGUCAUUCAAAGAUUAACACAAUGAGAGGAACCCAUCCAUUCUUUAAUAGAAUGAAUAUUUUAUUUUAGUCUAUGUGAAUUUUAUAUUAGUAGAUAGACAGAUAUAGAUACAAGUAAUUUUACACCAGUUAUAAUUCAUGUAUAGGAAUCUUUCGUUAUUUAAUUUUUGAGCAUUUAAAAAUGUUUUUCUAGUCUAUUAAAUUAUAUCAGUUAGAUUAUAAAAUAUAAAGAUUAAGCAACCUUGGAUCACAUUGCACUGCAGAGCCUGCUUUUAUCAAAGUGCUCAGUCUUAAAAUACAAUUGAAAAAGUCAUUCCUCUUGAAAUUCUGUUGAACUGUAAAUGGAAGUCUAGAAAUAUUUUUAUACAAUUCCCAAGAGAUUUUAAUGAAGAAGAAUAACUUUUUAGAAUAUAUUCUGAGUGAGCUGUUCACAUGACAGUUUCAGACAUGGACUUAAAAUCAUCUACCUGUAAACUGCAAGGGGUCAAGUUUGUGUUCUUGUUUGGUUCCCUUAACAACCAGAAGGUGUGGCUCAGAGUUUCUGGGGAGUGCCUGCUGCGGUGCACGUGACAGGGGAGCGGGUGUGCGUGUGCACAUGCAUGAGUGAAUGUGGCCCCUCCCCUCAGGCCUUUACCAGUGCCAAGUGUGAACUUCCAGAAUGAAUCUCUCCUGCCAUCCCUCUGCCCGUCUUUCUCCCCAGGUCCCCUGUUGGCCUUUGUGAGUCAUGACACACAGGCAUAGGGUAAAUGACCUCAGCUUUUAAGUCAGGCAUACUUGAGUCCAUUCCACACCUUGCUUCCUGAUUUUCACCUGAUUUUGGAGAAGUUUUCUAACCUUCUUUGAGCUACUAUACAAUGAAAAAAAUAUCCCUCUUGCAAGAUUACUGUGAGGGUUGAUGAUGAUCUGUGUAGCAUCCCUGGCACUUAGUAGGUGCUCCAAGAGCAGGUGCCAUUGCCACACUUCACUCCAGAGGAGGCAGCAUAACUAGGAGAGAAGUAUAUGGACCUUGGAGCUGGCCAACUUUAGGUUCAAAGGCCAGCCUCUGCCACCCACCAGCCGAGGGACCUCGAGCAACUCAUCCAAUGAGUUUGAGCCUUUCCUUUCCAGUCAGUCAAAUAGAUAGUAGUACUUACUUCAUGGGAUUUUGUGAGAAUUAAAAGAUAAUGUAUGGACAGAGACCGGCACAGUGCCUGGUGAUGAUUGAGUAUCCAGUAAAUAGAAUUAAUGAUGCUUAUGGUAGCAUUUCUACGAUGUCCUGCAAUUUCCUAAGAUGUUCAGUACCUCCACCCCCAACAGACAACAGCAAAAGCAAUAGUAACAUAGAUCCUUCUCCAGCUGAACUGAAGUGAUACCUUUAGGAAUGUUUCAGACUGUUUUCAGUCUCUCUGAAGCUCCUGAUGCAUAAGGCAAAUGCCCACGGGAUGGCUAUGGGCGGAGUGGAAUAGGAGUCCUGACUGGCUAUUCUUUCUGACCCUUCUGAGUGACUAAGAUCCUGCAGAAAUGUGACAGAAAAAGAAAGUUCCUUGGAGAUGGGCUGGAAUUGCUUGUGAUCUGUCCCUCUGAUUGUGCUAAAAUGCUUUCAGCCAGGUCCAGGUCCGUUCUGCCUUAGCACAGCAAAUCAAUCACUGUGACAUGGAGGGUUUUCCAAAAGAGAAAAGAUUUGUUCACAAAGGUACCAAGUGAGGAGGCAGGAGAACAGCUCUCAAAUCCACCUCCCUGAAGAUAAGGCUUAGGGAUAUUUAUGGGUUAGGGAAGCAGGGUGGUCUAACUUGUGGGGAAAGGUGAUUGGCAAUGGGGAAAAAAAUGAAGUAACAGGUUCAUUCUGCACAAGCAUAGUCGGGGUUCAUGGCAUCUCAAAGGAAGUAUGUUCAGUAAAUGGCAGCAUUAGCGUGAUCUGGGGGUGGAGCUUUUGGCCCUCCAAUGUCAAAAGGCCACCUCUCCGGCACUUUCGCAGGCCCAGUUGAAGGGGCAGUGGUCCUAACUGGUUUGAACUGGACAGGAGCUUGCCCUAGUUCCUGAAAAACAACUGUUGGGACCAUUACCAUGGUGACCUAUGAAUGUUAUCUGUAAAGUAGCCAGUGAAGGUCAAGUUCCAGCAUUCAGUGGCAAGGCCUCAGCUUCAUGGAAAAAGGAAAAAAGAAAUAACAAAAAGCAAGUGACCAAAAGCAAGCAGUACAGGCAGAUCCGAUCAAAUUAACCCCUUGGUUUCAAGAAUGCAAACUAGACUAAGACAUUUGCAAAGACUAGUUUCAGAGACCACAGGGAGACUGCAAGACAGCCAGCCAUACUUGCAGUGAUACGGAGCUUUACAAAGUCAUUGAAGGGAUUGUGUUGAACUUCUCCCUACCUCAUGGUCACCACAGCAUACGUUGGUUGUCCCCUCUUUCCGUAGGCUGUGAUUUCUAAUGGGGCUUGAUCAGGAUGAUCUGAUCCUGCUAAUUUGACACGUUGCAGCGAGGAGUUAGAACCACAGGUCUUGGUGUUGAUGACGUCUGCCAGUAGAGAUGCUCCCAACGUCCUAGUUGUGGAUUCAUUUCCCACAUUUUGAGGGAUUUUGUGAGGAGGUUGUGAUAAGAAACAAGAAGGCUGUGACAUGUAUAAAGGUCGAUUGUGUGUUGGUCAUUUGUGUAUUGUAUUUCUCAGGCUGUGGGAGACUUUUGUCCCUGUGUUUUGCCAUGCAUGGCCUGGAAAAGAAACAGUUAUGAAGUUUUCACUUUUCAACUUUGCAGCUGUCAUAGGUCCAAGUUGUGGUGGCUCACGUGGACAGUAUGGGUUCCAGUAGCCCUAUCAGGACAGCUUUCUCCUCCCACCCCUCCACUUCCCAUAGAUUUCAAAUGGGAGGUGCCAGCUUCUUACAGAAACUCCCUGGCCUUAGCGACUGGUGGAGGGAUGGGCACGUGGCCCAGUCCAGGCCAGAAUUCCAUCCUGGGCUUCGCAUCCUGGCUCUGGGAGCUCCACAGGGUGUGCUGGCCUCACAUGCCCUACACGUGGAAUCCGCUGGGGUACGGGAAAUGGAACCAGCACAGAGAUGCACAGACAGGGGCCACUCUCUCCUUGCCCUACCUGUGGCUGGAUUUGAUGGGCUCAUAAAUUCUCCUUUAUACUUAAGCCAGCUUGAAUUGGGUUUUUCUUAUGUACAGUCGAGAGUCAUGAUGAAUACAGUGUCUCUAAUUAACAGUGUUAGUUAAACUAAGUAUACAGCACUGGUGAUUUCUGUGUGUCAGUGUCAUUUCAGCCUCUUUGUUGUCUUAAGAGGCCCACUUAGUGGUUUGACUGUCCCUUGAGAGAAUAGAAGGUGAGCUUGGAGAGUUUUCAGAGACAGUGACUUGAUUUAAAGAAAGUAGGAUCAUAGUAGUAAUACCCCUCACAUCCACGUACCCCCCCAUUAGAGCUGCAGAGACCUGGCUUACAUGUAAUUUCAUUUACUUCUUGAGAGGUAGGUGGUAUCUUCCUGAUCUUACAGAUGAAGAAACAGAAGCUUAAAGUCGAGCAUUUGGCUAAGCCAAGCAGCAUAUAUGUAUAUGUGUUAAAUGAAUGUGUAGCUGUAUGUGUGUGUAGGUGCAUAUAUGUUUAAGUGUGAUGAGCAUGUGUGUAUAUGUGUGUAUGUAUUAUUAUGAAGGAUUUUCAGAGUCAGGAUUCAAAGCCAGGUCCCUCAAAUGCUAAAUUCAGGUCUAUAGCACAAAUGCUAUUUUAGGCACUCCCCAUUUCCUCCAAGUUCAUUGACUCACAUGUCCAACCAAUGCCAUUUAUAGUUAGAUGGCCUUAUAUAGAGAAGAACUGUGUUCACCCCCUGCCACGGCCCCCACCGCCAACACGCACGCAUACUCUGAUCAUUUUGGAAAUGGAGCACAUUUUCUCUUUUAACAUCUUAUCUUCCCCUCACUACAUUUUGGAUUCAUUGUGAACAAUUUUGAGUCUCAUUAGAGGUGUCUUAAUUUUAAAAAUUAAGUUGGGAACUAGCAAGUGAGAUUGAAGAGGCUAUAUCUUUGGUUCUGAACUGGAUUUUCAUUACUCAAUUACUCUUCAAAUUAUACUGAUUUGAGAUGUGAUUAUUAUUAUUUUUCCUAAGUAGAUUGGAUAAUGAGAGAAAUGCAAAGGCAUGCUAGACUAAUAGUGAUCUGAGUUUCUGCUACCUCACUUGUCCUCCCAUUUCACCUCCCCCAGCCAGAGCACUGCCCCGGCCCCUGCUUCCUGGUCUACCUGGUGAGCCUCUCUCCCCUAACCCAGUGAAGGUGGCUGCUUCCCUGUCUUUCCAGUGUCAACCCAGCUAUGACCACUGCAGCGCCAGGGAUCCUGGCCAACUUGCGCAUUGUAAUCACGUGAUGCAGUGCUCACCAUCCUGCAGCAGUUUCCUAUGUUAGUUCCCAGCCCUUCCAUAUAUGCCUCAUUUAAAUGUAAGAUUUAAAUUGUACCAUCUACCCCGAGAACCCGCUGUCUAGCCACCCUCAUCUCCUCAGGGUCAAACCUGCUCACAGUACCUUUAUCAGAAUUGCUCCUCAACUGCCUGAAACACAUUUCUUUCAUCUCCCUGUCCUUUUUCCUGUAGGGAAGAAGGUAAACUACCUAAAAGGGAGGUGGUGAUGUUUUCUCCCUACAUCCUGCUUCAUCACUUUUCCCCUUUGCUUUUAAAUACACACGUGUCAUGCUCAAGUGCUGUCUGUGCAUUUACUCAUGGCUCGUGCCUUUGGUAUGAGCCUCAUUACUGGGUGAGCUUUGCCAAAUGAGCUUUUGCUGUUGCUGCAAAUACAAUGGCAUCUCUUUUGUUUUAGGGCCUGGAGUGACAUUGUGAUGGAGAAGUGCACAGUUGACCAUAUCGAGCUGGUCAGGAGGGUAGAUUUAAGAGAUGCAGCAACAGCAGCCUCUCCUAUAAGCAGCAGAGUCUUCCCUGACAUCUUACUUAUGUCCCCCAGGAUCUGAGCUCAUUGGCCAUGGCAGGAACCACUAAGAUUGUUUGGUUAUUCCGUUACUUCUGUCUUCCAGCCAGACUGUAAUCUCCUUGAGGCUGUAGUUUUCUUAUCUCUAUCCCCAGCACCUUGCAGGUUACCCAGCGCACGGUAGGAAAUCUAUGAAGGUUUGUAAAAUAUAUGCAUGUAACUUACUGUUAUGGACUGAAUUGCAUCUCCACCCCCACCCCGCCCCGCCUCCGAAAUUUAUAUGUUGAAGCCUUCACCACCACCGCCCCGCAUGUGACUGAAUUUGGAGAUAGAGCCGUUAAAGAGGUAAUUAAGAUGAAAUGAGGACAUAAAGGAGGAGUUUUUAUAAGGACUGGUGGCUUUGUAAGAAGAGAUACCAGGAACGUACAUGUACUGAGGAAAGGCCACGUGAGGACACAGUGAGAAGUCGGUUACCUGCAAGCCGGGGAGACAGCCUCAGGAGAACCCAAACAUGCCACCUCUUUGCUCUUUGAUCUCGGACUUCUAGCCUCCAGAACUGUGAGAACAUCAAUUUUUGUUCUUUAAACCACCCAGUCUGUAGUAUUUUGUUCUGGCAGCCUGAACUAAUAUAUUUACCAACUGUCCUAGCUUCUUGUAUCCCAAAGCUGGGACUGUAGGGGUCAACUUUGGCUGCUAAGGGCAGUUUGAGAAGAUCCCAAGGUUGGCUGCUUAAGAUGAAUCCACAGUAAUGGGCAGCUGUGUCCCACCCCGCACUCCUCCUUCACCACCAGUGAGGCAAGUCUGGCUAAGGCUGUUUCAGGCAUUCCCACCCUACCAGGGAACAUGAAUGUCAUCAUCAACUAAGAUUCUGAGCCUCUUGGAAAUUAUUUUAACUUGACCUACAUCACCGUAUACCCCGAGACCUUGGCAUUUCUGUAUACCCAUGAAUAAUAGCAAUUAGCAUGAAAAGAAAGCUGAAAGUCUCAAAUAGGAAGCUCUGCAGUCUGGCCUUAGACCUUCCACUUACUAGCUAUGUAUACUUGCAUGUGUAAUUUUACCUUUUUGGGGGUCUAUGAUUUGUUUUUAAAAGUGGCCAUGCUGCUAUAAUGGACAGUUCCUUUUCCCUCUUUUGGGAAUUAACCCUGGCUUGCAGCUGGAGAGCCCUCCAUCCCCUCAAGUCCAUUCAUCUGUGUGCUUCCAAGUGAUGUCUCUACCACUAGUUUAAGUCGCUCUCAUUCCCCUGGCUACACUGGUGCUUCUGGGUGGUCAUGUGAUAGAGGCUGGUCUGAUUACAGUGAUUCUCAGACCUUUUCCAAUGAACACUGGGGAAAUGCUAGAUUCAAAGCUGCUGUUUGUAGCCCCAGGGGCUGCCGGCAGCCACCUGUGAACAGAGGAGAGCCUGUCCAAGCCUGUUUUCACCAGCAGCGUUGCUGAGUUGGGGGACAGAGAAUAGGACUUGGUAAAUGCCAUUUGAAAGGCAUCACUAUUCCUGGUUUCCCCAGUCACAGGCGAUAAAGUCUCUUCAAUUCGGUUUUUAAAAAUCGCUAAAGGUGGAAAGAUUCCUAGCUGAUAAAGCUAUUAACACCUGCCCUGUCCACCACACAGGAGCUUUCAUAGUACAAUUUCUAAAUAAGAUGAUGAAGACAAAAACUGCAUGUGACAUGCAGUUUGAACACAGGGAAUUAUUAUUUGGAAAAUCCAGUGACUGGUGCCUAUUGAACUCAAUAUCAUGCUCUUUGAACAUCUGUGAAAAGAUGUGUACAUUCUUAGCACAGUGUCACCUUGUAAGGAAUGAAUACAUGGAAGCUGUUGUUAUCAUCAGUAAGAAUUAUUGCAGCAGUGAUAGAAGGGGGAUGUAGAAGUCUUUGAGAAUUUUGAUUUGAUGAAGAAGAUAGCUGCAUGGAAUCCUACUUGAGAAGGAAUUGAUUCUGUUUCUGUUGGGGUUAGGUGAUACCAACAUCUUCCUGAUGUGGAUGGCACUUGUUUGUGGAAAUUGAGUAGCAUCCUCAUAGCCAAGUUCCUGACAGUGGAAACUCAUGGGGAGCCCUUUCCUUGUGAGCCCACCCUGAGGGUGUUCCUGCUUUUCUUGGGCCUGAUUCUCAUCUGAUCACCUUGGCUGGAUGUUGCCUCAGCCAAGGACAGUAUACAAAGACAGGCCAAGGUUCUGGUUAUCCUUGUGAUGUGAUAUAGUUUGGCUGUGUCCUCACCGAAAUCUCAUCUUGAACUGUAGCUCCCAUAAUUCCCAUGUGCUGUGGGAAGGGACCCUGUGGGAAAUAAUUGAAUCAUGGGGGUGGUUUCCCCAUACUGUUCUCUCAUGGUAGUGAAUAAAUCUCAUGAGAUCUGAUGGUUUUAUAAGGGUUUUCCCGUUUUGCUUGGCUCUCUGAUUUCUCUCUUGUCUGCUGCCAUGUAAGAUGUGUCUUUUGCUUUCUGCCAUGAUUGUGAGGCCUCCUGAGCCAUGUGGAACUGUGAGCCCAUUAAACCUUUUUCUUUACAAAUUACCCAGUCUCAGGUAUGUCUUUAUCAGCAGCAUGAAAAUGGACUAAUACAGGGUGCAAGGUAAUGAUUAGGGAGGGCAAAAAGGGGGCUCCUGAGGUGCCAAGAGCCCCCUGUUAGUUCAUUUGGUGCUGAUUACGUGGUAAAUUCUUUUUUUUUUUUUUUUUUUUGAGAUGGAGUCUCACUCUUGUUGCCCAGGCUGGAAUGCAAUGGUGUGAUCUCGGCUCACUGCAACCUCUGCAUCCCAGGUUCAAGCGAGAUUCUCCUGCCUCAGCCUCCCAAGUAGCUGGGACUACAGGUGCCCGCCACCAUGCCAGCUGAUUUUUGUAUUUUUUAGUAGAGACAGGGUUUCACCAUGUUGGUCAGGCUGGUCUCAAACUCCUGACUUCAGGUGAUCCCCCUGCCUCGGCCUCCCAAAGUGCUGGGAUUACAGGCAUGAGGCACCACCCUGGCAAUUACAUGGUAAAUUGGGAAAAUUCACUGAGCUGUACACAUACAAGGACUUUGCUGGACAUACGUUAUUCCGAUAGAAAGUUUCAAAAAUGAUUGGGCAGCUGCAAUUUCAUUACACCUAUUUGAUUUCAGAUUUUUAUUAUGUACAUGUAGUGAACCUCAGAAUUCUUACAUGAUUAAAAAAUAGGAUUGUCAUAGAUUUUAUCAAAUCAAUGUGGUAAUUUAGAGCUGAACGAAACACAAAGUAACAAGAAUUUUUAUCACAAUUCAAGCAUAUUUUAUAAAGUCUCUCCAAACCUGCUUGUUAUCGAUGUUGUUAAUACAAUAUUUAGAUUCCAUUUUGAACAUUCCAGCUGGCAAAGAUUACAGAAAUGUCAGUCUCUCCCAAGAAUGGGUUGGUUUUUUGUUUUCUUUAAAAAUUCAUUGCCAGAGAGUUAGGUUCACAAAUGUGAGUUAAGAUGAACUUAAGUGACUAUAAGUAAAAUUAGGAAAAUGAAAACCCUUCAGCAAAAACUUGAGAAGGCCUUUGCCAAAACACACUGGCAAAUUAUAUAAGCUUUAAAAUUUUAUGUAGACAAAAGUGGUUUCUCUUUCCACCAUAGUAUCUUGAUGGUUAAGUAUGUCGGUGAAGUAAUUGUUUUAUAAACUAUUGUUUAAACCUUGAAACUUCAUAGCAAGCGUUUUUCUAGGCAGAAAACACUGCUUGAAAACUUUGGAGAUUUAAAAACAAGCAGGCCAAUUUCACUGCGAUUUGUAAUUUCCAGUGGAAUAUGGAAUAGCCAAGAUCUUUUUAAUCGGGAAACGUAUAUAAUUAUACCAAUACCUUAGAGGUUCACUUUGAAAAGAAUCCUCUUUCUCUGCAGAAUUUGUUGAAAUGAUUAAGGUUGCCUGUCCGAUCAGUGAACCAUUUGUUAUCUCCAAUUAAACUGAAAGUCUCCAUACAUCAGCCCUUUGUAAAUACUAAGUGGUUAAUGCUGCCUCUUAGGUUUCCAAAUGUCUUAAGAAUGUGUUGUAAUAAAAAAAAAAUUAGCAUCAUUUUAAUAUUAAUACUCCGACAUAGAUUUUAUCUUGAGAGUGUUUCUGAACCGAAGACUCUGUUAGCCCCAUAUUCAGGGGCACAGGGAAUCUCAGAUAUGUCUGUAUUUGUUUUCCCGAAAGAGUUAAGACAAUAUUUUCUUUUUUUAGUUAAGGUUAGGUACCCACAUGUCCUGAUUUUGACUAGUUUAAUUCUUGAAUUCUUCCUCUUUAGCAUAUUUUCCCUGUUCUAGUUCAUCAUUUCCUCUCUCCGACGUCUAAGCUCCUUGCUUACUGUUUUCUUGGAACAAGGUAGUUUAAAUAGUAUUUCCUAUGUGUCUGGGAUCAUUAUUUUUGUGAUAGCAGCAAAGUGCCACAGAUCACACUGACCUCCAGUUUGUAUAUUUGUGUGUGUGCAGGGACUAAGUUAAAUCAUAGCAUUUCAGAACUAGGAGGUUUCUUAGAUACCUAGCUGGCCCCAUCCUCAAUGAAUAGACAAGUAAACUGGGCCCAGAGUCAGGGCUUGCCCUGAGUCACAGGCAAACUGGUGGAUUAACCUGCCCCUUCUCAGGUCAGUCCAGCUCUCUUUUCCAGCCAUCAGACUGGAGUAAACUCUCCUUCUCUUCUCCUUCUCCUCCUUUUUUUUUUUUUUUUUUUUUUUUUUUUUUUUUGAGACAGGGUCUCACUCUGUCACCCAGGCUGGAGUGCAGUGCACGAUCUAGGCUCACUGUAACCUCUGCCUCCUGGGUUCGAGUAAUUCUCUUGCCUCAGCCUCCCGAGUAGCUGGGACUACAGGUGCCCACCACCACACCUGGCUAAUUUUGUUUUGUUUUGUUUUGUUUUGUUUUUUAAGACGGAGUCUCGCUCUGUCACCCAGGCUGGAGUGCAGUGAUGCGAUCUCGGCUCACUGCAAGCUCCACCUCCCAGGUUCAUGCCAUUCUCCUGCCUCAGCCUCCCGACUAGCUGGGACUACAGGCGCCUGCCACCAUGCCCAGCUAAUUUUUGUAUUUUUAGUAGAGACGGGGUUUCAUCGUGUUAGCCAGGAUGGUCUCGAUCUCCUGACCUCGUAAUCAGCCCACCUUAGCCUCCCAAAAUGCUGGCAUUACAGGCGUGAGCCACCAUGCCCAGCCUAAUUUUUGUAUUUUUAGUACAGACAGGGUUUCACCCUGGUGGCUAGUCUGGUCUUGAACUCCUGACUUCAGGCGAUCUACCCACCUCAGCCUCCCAAAGUGCUGGGAUUACAGGCGUGAACGACCACUGCCGGCCCUCUUUCUCUUCUUAAUAUAUUCAGAAAUAUGGAAAGGUAGAAAAGAAACCCAAACUGCAGUAUAUAUGGUAAUGAAAGCAGGAAUGUACAGCUGAAACUUCUUUCUCAUCAUACUGGGCCCAGCCCCGGCCUUGAGUCCCAGCAUUUCUACUUGCUAGCAGCAUGUAUGUCUUUCUGGGUCUCAGUGUCUCUAUCUAUGAGUUGGGAAGUCAGACCCACAAUGAUAGAUCUCAGGGAAGACUUCAGUGGUGUUGCUCCCAUGCUUGCCAUACAGGAAAGCACUCCACACCUCGAAGCUACCACUGAACCAUUUGGUGGAUCUCUCUCGGACAUUGCAGGCCCCAGCCAGGCCUACCUGGACUUGGCCCCAACCCACUGCUAUAUGCAUAGUCCAGAGUUUGACUGAGGAUGACCCCAGCCCCAGGGUCAGCCCAACCCAAGGCUCAACCCGUGGUUCAGGAUCGUGCACACACAUGCACACACACAAACACAGGUAGAAGACUGAGCAAUUUACAUAUGCUAAAAUGUAAAUUGGGAUUAUUUUGAGCUGUGGAAUUGUAUGGAUAGUUUUUAAUGAAUUUUAUACUUGCCAUGAUAAAAAUAUAUUGGUUACACAACUAAAAUACAUAAAAGAACAAAACUAAAUGUUACAGCUGCUCAUUUAUGUCAUUAGGGUAAUGUUAAAGGUUAGUUAAGAUCUUUAAAAAUCUGAGCAGUGCUUGCAAACAUACAAAUGGCAGAGUGAUUCCGACACUUGGGCUGCUUAAAUAUUAGGGGGUAGGGAAGCUUUCAGUUGGGCCCCUCUUUGAGCCUAGUUGCCUGUGCCGGAGCAUUCUAAUCUUUAAAUAAAUACAAUCCAUAUCCUUAAGCUGUUACGCGAAAGAAAUAACAACUAAUAGCAAGUCGGCCAUGAGGCCCAUUGCCGUACACAUGACCCUGGGGACAAAGUGGGCUGCACCCAGGCUGUGCCAGCCUUUGGCUGGUCCCCUCCCACCUGAUACAGAUGAGCUGGGUUAGUGCUAGGAAGAGAGGGCCCCUCUUCUCUUGCUGAUUGCCAGGAGCACAGGGGUGCCAGCCCAGAGCUCUGGUGCAGGCUGCCGCAGUGGUCAGGCUCUCCCAGAGACCUGGCCUCAUCAGGAGUGAUCCCAGCUUUGUGCCCGGGAGAGCAGAUCCCCGUACAGAAAAGGGAAAGCAAUUCAGUGGCAGAUUAUGAACUUACUGAUCACAUUUGGGAACAGGUAGUAUUUGGGGAGUUAGUUCAGAUUAAAACUGUGGAGGAGCAGUUAUGUAAGCAUCUAGUGUGCAGGGUGAGGACCAGUGAGCUAUUUGGAGUUCUCAGGAUUAUAAAAAUCAUUACGUGUUGUUUAACAACUGGGGAAUACUUUUCAGGUGUUCUAAAUGAUCCAUUCACACUGCCCAACACGAGGCUGCAGACUUCCACUAUCUGCUGUUACUUGUAGAGAAUCCCAUAGACUGACCUGAUCUGUUCCAUAAGGACCAGCAUUUUAGAAGUUCUGUCUGUGGAUAUUCUGGUUGAGAGUAGAUUCAGAACUGAAUGUCAGGAUUCCAGAGGUUGAAUGUGUGUAGUUGUUUUUAUUUCACUUAAGUCUUUUCAUAAUCUUAAAACAUAUUUAAUAUGCAGUUCAGAUAGGCUUCCAGAUGUUCUGUGACAAACAAAGCUGGAAGGAAGGUUUCUGUCGGGGGAGUUGACCCCAAAGCCUGUAAGUUUCUGCCGAGCCCUGGUCUGUACCUUGGUGCUCACUACCAUCUGCUUUAGAGCUGCUCUGCUGUGAGAGGCUGCAUGUCAAUGACUAUAUUUAAUUAAUUUGUCUAACGUAUCCCACCUAGUUCCAAAAAGAAUUUGCAAUGGCCUACAAAAGUGCUGUAUACCUAGAGGUUUUAUUUUUUAUUUUAUUUUAUUUUAUUUUUUAAAGGAAGUACAGAAAUUAUAACAAAGGGAAAAUAAAGGUAAGAAACCCAAGAUAAAGUUAGGGGAUAACAUUAAUAUACAAAAUUAAUAUUGUAAGUUCUAGGUAUUGGUUUAGGAGUGGGAUCAGUCAUGAAUUUGGCUCUGAGCUUCCUAGUGACCAGAGCAAAGAGGGAAACAUCAUCAUUUGAAUGGUUUAAAUGUUCAGAAGAUUAAAACUGACUCAUUACCCAAGAGAAACACAGAGGUCUGUAAUACUAAAACCUGAGAGAUGUUUGUCCUUUAGAUUCUCAUAGAGAGAGAUCAUCAGUCAUACAGCAAGACACAUCCUUAAUAAUAUGCCUGGUUUCAAAGGCAGUUUCCUGUAACAUCUCUCUAGGCAAAGCAAUGCAACAGACAUGUAGAAGUCAAUUAUUCAGUGAUAGUUCCAGGGACAUUGCCUUCUUGUCUCUGAGUGACUGGGUCUGAGGUCCAGCCCAGAAUCUGUAGUCUUCAAAGCCACCAGGUGAUUCUGUUGUAUAGACAGGCUUGAUGCUCUCUGUUUUAGGCAGUGAGAAACAGCUAACUAAGCUAGGCACGUGGCCAGAGCUGGAAACACAGAGUUGGUGAGUUGUUCGUGAUCAGGGGAUAACCGAGCAUGUGAGAGGUGAAGCUCACGAGGAAGUGAGCCUAGUAAGGAAAGAGGGUGUGGACGAAUGAGCCUGAUAGGACCCCAAAACAGGAAGAGACCUGGGCACAUUCCCGAGGGAGAACCUUCAUACUCGUUUUAACCCAUUUCACAAAUGUGGUUUAGAAGAAGCUACAUAGAUGGGAAAGGUAUAGUGUCAUGUGAAGAAGACAUUUGAAGGUAAAGCACAUUGAAUAUAUCUUUAAUUGGGACCACUGUAACUGUUAGUUACAUUUAUCUUCUGAAAAAAGCUGCUUACACUUUAGAAAAUAAGAUGUAGGUGUUUUCUGGGACUUCAGUGGUCCAGGUAGUAUCACAAUGACUACUGUUUAUUAACCUGGCCUGUUGUGUUCCAGGCAUGGAGCUUGGCACAUACCUGUAUGCCUUCACUUGAGCCUCACCAGAGAUCUGUGGAGGAAAGGUGGCAUCAUCAUCACCGUCAUCAUCGUCAUCUCCCUAUCAGUGACAGGGAUUUACUCAGAUUUGCCCAUUCCAAGAGAAUUCAUAAACUUGGCACUCCAUUUGUGGUUGUGAAGCUUUCUUUCCCCUUUCCUCUCCUCCUCCCUUCCAGGGGGUUGAAAUAAUAUAGAACAUGAAAUUAGAACUGUUUUCCAUUGUCAGUAAACUAAGGGAGGUGGGAGGCUGAGGGUCACCUGGCUCAGCCUCCUCCUCACCCCCCAUAGAAAAGCCAGGCAAACACCACUGCUCCAGGGUGUUGCUGCCUCUUAGAGCACUGGCCCACCAUGAUUUUGUGAUGCAUUUGUCAUGGCUCUAGUGUGUGUGCGUGUGUGUGUGUGUGCACUCAAGGUUGGUUGGUCAUUCCCAGUUUCAUUCUUUAUGAUGUCUCCAUGAAGGCUCUACUCUGCUGUUAGGAUACCAUCCUCAAGCCUUGGUACAAAUGCCCACAUCAUUGUCUUCUCAGCAGCAUAUUCUGAGGAAACGUCACUCCUUAGAGAGUGCUCACAGGCACCCAUGCCACUCGCUUUGCAUCGCUCUGAGGUUAAAAUAAAAAUCCACGGGACAUCGAGGACCAAGCCAGUCUCACACCAAGACCUUAAAUGGACAUUAGCUGAAGUCUUUGAAACUUUCAUUUUUUUGUUUUUUAGAGAUAGGAUCUCACUCUGUCACCCAUGCUGGAGUACAAUGGUGUGACCAUAGCUCACUGUAGCCUUGACCUCCUGUGCUCAAAUGAUCCUCCUGCCUCAGCCUCCCAAGGAGCUAGGACUAUAGGUGUGUGCCACUAUACCCAACUAAACAUAAUCCAGACUUUUUAUGGUGAAAAUUCACCUGGUGGGGAAGCCCAGAGAGGAUUUUGAGAGAUUUCCUAAUCUAGUCUCUUCCCACAGGAUCGGAUUAUACACGAAUUGGUACUUACAGGUGGUGAUUAGUUCUGUUCUUAGAAGAUUUCUCUAGAGGGUAAUUCAGCUACUUUCUUCCGUAGUAUGUUUCAGCCCAACUUCGUGGAAGGAACUUCUUCCCACUCUCUAAUUUGAACCUCUCUUUUUAUGGUUUGAAUACAAUUUCCUUUACUUCUGUCCUCUAUGACAAGGAAAAUAAACAACCAAAUGGGUCCAUUCCCUGCAUCUUAUUGUAACACCUUGAAAAUGUCGCCUUGCCCACAAACACCAUGGGCCUCAUGGAAGGUGGUGGGACUCAGCCCCUCACGGUGGAAUGGAAAUAGGUCCAUGUGUCCAUGUGAGUUGUUGAUGGUGGUGGAUGGAGCCACCUCCUCCUGCCCUAGCCCUGGGGGACUCUCACUGCAACCUGCAGGAUAGGUGGUUAAGGAGGGGUUUGUUUUCCAGCUAAACAAUGGAAUAUUUCUCUGCUCAAAAAUAACCGGUUUAUUUCCUACCAGCUGACCUGCGAUUCACACGAAAAUAAUAUCUUGAGGGGUCUAAACUAUACUGCUUUUUAUAGCUUCUUCUGAUUCUUUGAAAAGUAGACUUGCAGAGGUCUCACCUGCUCAGGCUCCUUUUGGCAGAAUAUCAAACCGUGGUCUCAUAGCCAGAUUUUCCCUGAAUAAUGAAUGAGCCAGUGUCGAGCAAGUCAGAAAUAGAAAUCAAUAAAGCUAAAUUUCAUCAAGAAGAGGCAGCUUUGCAGUGGAAUGAUAGAGAACAUUGAGGCCAAUGGAUGCCAAACUCAAUAAUGCACAUCCUUAAACUCUCACGGAUUAGGGAAAGCAGAAAAGAAAACCAGUGUCUUGGGAAGAGUCAGAAGGGAUCAGAGCUUGAGAACACACCUUGCUCAGUGGGAAGAGGAAGGAUGGGCAAAGCAUCAGAGGCUCAGCUUCUUACGGCCGGGACAGCAAUAGCGUGAUGCACAAACCUCCCGGGAGCCAGCGUUAAACAUCUUCAUAAAUCAUAUGUUUGCAGCUGUGUGACCAAAAUAGACGUCCACCCAGCCUGUUUGUCCUGGCCUUGUGGAACGUGGCGUGACCGUAGGUCCUCAAAGACAUCUGUGAUUCCUGCCCCUGCUUCCCUCAGUGCCGUUCAUCAAUCAUCUGUCCAAGCCUAACUCUCCCCUCUGAUCGCCAGUGACAUGGUCCUACUGACUGAUUGAUUGAUUGAUGAUUGACUGAUUGAUUGAUUUUCAUAUGAGAUAGAUUGAAGCAUAUUGUGUGGAGAGCCUUUUUUAUGCCAAUUAUUCCAUGAAAAACUUGAUUUUCCCCUUGAAAAUGACAACAGGUGUCCUUGAGGGGACAGGGCAGUGUGAGGAGGGUGGCAGGCAGGGAAGAGUGGUGCCAGCACACUCAUUCUGCCCCACUGGCACCAGGCAACCAUGAGUUCUUUUAUUAGGGCAUGUCAGAUGUGCCUCUGGGGCUGGUGUCAGACCCACCUCCACCCUGCCCUCUAGACUUACUGUGAGCCUCUGGCACUCAUGGGGAGGUGUCUUGUUCCUUGGGUGCCUUGGUACAUUUAAAAAAAAAAAGUGUGAGAGCCACUGGAGGCUGGUUGUAGAAGGGUAAUGAGAGGGGUCUCUGUGCAGAGUGGCACUCCUGCUUCUUACUCCUAUGAAGACCUUUUUUCUUGAGGACAGUCAUGAAUGGUGUGCCCAGUGGUUUCUCCUGGAAGGUCACAGUUUGCUGACCCCAGGCCUUGUUAGUGGUUUAGUUGGAAUCCUGCUUGGAAUGUUUUGCAUGCUGCUUUGAAAAGAGCACUGGGCCAGGAGCAAGGGCUUUGGGUUUAACCUUUGCACCUUUUGUACCCUCCUUCAUAGCCAGACAUGUGCAAUUUAUAGUCAACUCCCUGGGCCUCAGAUCCUCACCAGGACAAGAGUGUUGGAUGGGACCGUUUCUUAAGAUCCCAUCUAGCCUCUGGCAUUCUGGGUGUGAGGGAGAAGACUUUUGUCUUAGGACUUUUUGUUCUUAAUUGUUCUCGCCAUUCCUAGAGCCUAGUACUGUUGCGUCUGACACUGAGAGAACCAAUGCUUGUUGAAUGAAUGAGUGAAUGAAUGAACACAGACCAACAGUAAUUCAUCUUCAUAGGCAGCCGGUGCCUGAUUUAAAUACAGAGAGCCAGUUUCCUUGUGUUUGACUCAAGUCUACACAGUUGGAGAUCUGGGCAUCAUUUGAAAUGCUGCAUUUGUGAAAAUGAGACCGGAAAGUGGCAACGUGGGCUCAUGGCUGGUGUUGAAAGAAGUGUUAAUGUGUGAAUUUCUUCUAAGAGACAUUUCACAAUGCACUGUGUCCUUAGCGUUCUCGGCCUUCAUCAGAAGAAGGAGUCACUGAUGCUGAGGCCUGUGCUCCCUGUGUUCAGAGAGAGUUUUAUAGAGUAGCCCCUGGCCUCUGGGAACUUAGCCUCUAAGAAUUUGCACUGCCCCCAAAUGUGCCGCAUACAGGAAAUCCCCAUGGGGGGAAUAAAAAAAGCUCUGAAUCCAUACACAAGUGUCAUUAAAGCACUUAGCUUUCCUGCAGAUCUCUGCUAAGUGCUGCUAAGUGCAUCGUUAGUGGGGGAGUGGACAACAGAAGGCCCAUGCCUGGGCCGCAGUGGCAAAGGUGUGGUCAGAGAAGGUGGCCUUGAGCGCUCUGGGUCUCAAAAGGUGAGUAGGACAAGUGUCUCUUCUCAGGCCCCCUAGGAAGGCCUCAUGGAGGAGACGAGUGUUCAGAGGCAGAACUUGGAGGUGAUCCCGCCCCACCAGGCAGAGGACACAGAUUGAUGGCCCUGGGAGCAGAGCCAGCACACUGGUACACAGAUGGGUUUUUUUAUUGUUGGACAGAGUGAUUUUGAAAAUUUGAAUUCAUUGCCACUACUUAAAAAUCAGGAAAUUUUACAUAAAUAUCUGGAUUUCUAGCUUCCCUUGACAUCUGGGAGAUGGAGCAGCCCUGGGCAUGCCUUGCCACAGGGCAGCAACUGGCUGGACCUGAGCAGCCACACUCCGAGCUGUCUGUCUAGCCGUGCAGUUCUGACCACUCGCUCCUUUCCCUGCACCACCCCUUCUCCCCACCCCCCUUACAGACACUCAGCCAUUUGAACUGAGUCUCUGGUUAGGGAACAAGCUUGCUGACUUCUGUUGGGGAAAACGUUCCAGGCUCAGGCAAUUCAGGCAGCCUUGCAGAAGGCAGGAUAGCAUGGCGAUGAUGGUGGUGAUGAUGCAGCUAAAACAUGAAACGUUCUACUACGUACAGAGCCUCUUCUGAGCACUCUCCUUGCUUUAACUCAUUCGUCCCAGAGAAACGUGUGAGGAAGGGGCCGUCAUGAUCCUGCUUUACAGAUAGGGAGACUGAAGUGUAAGUUUUGUAGGGGCAAGUACCUUCUCCAUGUCGUGUUGUUAGUAUGUGACAUAGCUGGGGUUUCCAUCCAGGCAGGCCGCUCCAAGACUGGUGCUCUUGACCGGGGAUUAAAAAAAUAACAGUUACAGGGUGCAGAAUACAGGCCAGGGAUGGUGCUGGGUGGUUUGAUGGGCCAUGGCCAUAGAUCCCAGCAACAGCCAUUGGGACAGGUACCAUGUGCCAAUGAGGAAACAAAGGCUUGAAAAGAUGAGUGAUCUGCUCAGGCACACAGCUGGAGUCCAGAAUCCAUCAGGGCAGCAGAAUUGGGAAGUCCUGGGGGAUUUCAGGAAAGAGAUUGGGGUCUUGAAAAACACAGUGAUGGCUAGUGGGAAGGGUACAGAUUGACUAAAGAGGGAGGAGGAGGAGGCCAAAGAUUUAUUAGAAGGCCCUAGACAGAUAUGUCUGUACAUUCGGUUUUUUUAAAACAGGAUUGAAUUUUGCUUCUCUUCUUUUAAUUUGGCGUCUGUUUUCUUGGUGCUGUAGCCCAAAGAAAGGAGCCCCCACCAGCCAAACUUUUCCCUUAAGAAAUGACUCCGGGAGUGAAAUAAGACCUGAUCUUUUCUGUGCUCACAACUGAGGUUUCUUCAGUCCAGCCUAUUUGUUGAGAAAGAGCCGUUUGAUCUCCCAUGUGGGCAGCAUCAGGGCAAACAGGAUGGAUCAAGCCUCACAGAGUGGUGAAACCUGGAACCAAAUCUCCACCUUGAGGCCAUGCAAAGACAUGUUGGCCCUGGGCAGCUCUCCCUGGGGAGCUCUUGAAUUCACUCUUCCAGAACCUUCAUGCCCUAGAGCGAAUGCCAGAUCCUUGCCAGAGGCUCUUUUCUGCAAUGCCCAUGAGCACUCCCUGAAAAAGGAAGUUUCCAAACGCAGGCUUCCUCCAUUUUUGGUACCCCCCCAGGCGCAGGCUGUCUCGCAUCAGGCCUUAAUGAGCCCUGACAACCUGGGGCAGGAGGGAGCCAUUUAUAGCUAAACUGUGGUGGCUGCAGGCUGACCAUCAUGAGGCAGCAUUCUUCUCCCUGGCACAGUCCACCGGGAUCUGCACGGAGGCAAAACACCAGACUCUUAGUGUCCUUGGCAACCCCCUUCCAAGCUCUCCGAGCUUGUCUCCUUUCUCUAAAGUGACUGUGCUUCCCACUUUGGUUCCUGCAGUCCUGAAUCUACCCACCCUUUGGGACAGUAGCUACCCGCCAUAUUGUCCACACACUCAGUUGAAAACACAUGCCAGUUUUAUAUCCUAUUUCACACUGUAUCUGUUGUUUCUCUAAAAAUAAUAAUAUCUUUGCAUACUUUAACUCUUUAUUCCAAGAUUUUCAUAUAAAAUCGAGGAAUAGGUAAAAUGUCCCAUUUGCAUUUUGAGUCCUCAUAUCUUCACACACCUCUUCGAGAUAUUUAUGUAAAAUUUCCUGAUUUUUUUUUUUUGAGAUGGAGUUUCCCUCUUGUCGCCCAGGCUGGAGUGCAAUGGCACGAUCUCGGCUCACUGCAACCUCCACCUCCCAGGUUCAUGCAAUUCUCCUGCCUCAGCCUCCCGAGUAGCUGGGAUUACAGGCAUGCACCACCACGCCCAGCUAAUUUUGUAUUUUUAGUAGAGACAGGGUUUCACCAUGUUGGUCAGGCUAGUCUCGAACUCCUGAACUCAGGUAAUCCGCCCUCCUUGGCCUCCCAAAGUGCUGGGAUUACAGGUGUGAGCCACUGCGCCAGGCCAAUUUCCUGAUUUUUAAGUACUGGCAAUGAAUUCGAAUUUUCAAGAUCACUCUGUCCAACAACAACAAAAAACCCGUCUGUGUAGCAGGGGUAGUAUAUGGCCUACUUUGAGAGGCUCACAUAUUAAAAGUGUUAAUAAUCCUUGGCUCUAUAGUCUGGAUCUGGCUUGUAGUUUAGCAGGUUAUUAGCUGAGUAACCUUUGUCAAGUUACUUAAUCUGUGUUCCUUCAUCUGUUAAACGGGCAUAAGAAUCACUACUUUGUAGGGUUGUUGUAAGAAUGAAAGAUGAUCUUUUAAAUGGCUAAGUGUAAAAGUGGCACCUAGUAGACAAUGAAUGGUUGUUAUUCAAGACACAGUUCUUCCAGAGAACUAUCCCUGUUUCAGCCAAAGCUUACUGUCUGCAGUUGUAGCUAGUAUAUCGCAAAGCAAGUGCCUUUGAAUGCUUUAAACCUUGGUUUUGUUAUAUAAGGUUGAGCAUUUUUGUGUCAUUUGUCUUAUUGCUUGUGCUUUGAGGUCAGGGACCACAUGUAAAGACACCUUUGCAUUUCCCAUAGCACAUCAUUGGUGUUCUGUAAAUAUGCCAAGUUAUUUGUUUAUAGUAAUGAUUUUAUGAAUCCAAAGCAGCAUGUUGAAUUAUUGUACAAAGAAAAUAAAUUUAAAAUGGAGAAAUAUUUCAUAAAGCAGGUGGCAGUUGAGUGGGAUCUUUAUAUAGAAGGAAAACAGACAUUUUAAGCACUUGAUUAGGUCCAUGUACUCUUAAUAUUUGGAGACUUUUUUCUAUGCCAGUAAAGUAACUGAAAUCCACCCACAUUCCACAUUAAAUAUCAUUAUAUGUAAGCUAUGUAAGAGUUGAAUUUAGUUGCUCUUGAUUGGUUAACAUAUGUUUAUAGACAUUUAACUGAGCAUUUAUUUCAAAUGUGCAAGGUGCUUUUCCAGUGAAUUUUGUGUUUUGGGCUCACCCAUUUUCAUAGGCUACAGAAAGCUUGGAGGCCCAAGCACCAGAAUUAGGGGACCUGGUGGAUCAAACAACUGGUAAAGGAUUCUAGGCAGAAGGGGCAGUCUGUGAGUCAGGUCAGCUGCCUAGGGUGAAUUCCAGGACAGUGCUUGCGUGGGUGUGCUGUGGCUGUAGGAAGCGUCUGGGAAAUGUAGCAUAUGUGGGAAGAAGGCUGGAGGCUAGAAAAGGAGGAAAUGCCACCUUCUGAGGCACCAGUGGCUCACGAAUAGGGGCAUUUUGUUAGAAGAAACAGAAAGCAUAAAUCCAGCACUUUCAAAUACUAAUCUUUUUCUUCAGCCAUUUCUUGGCCAAGAUAAUUUUUUCCAGUCAGUGCUAUGGAACUGUAUUAGUCUCUUCUCACGCUACUAAUAAAGACAUACCCGAGACUGGGUAAUUUAUAAAGAGGAUUAAUGGACUCACAGUUCCACGUGGCUGGGGAGGCCUCACAGUCAUGGCAGAAGACAAAGGAGGAGCAAAGUCAUGUCUUAAAUGGUGGCAGAGAAGAGAGAGAGCAUGUGCAGGGAAAUUCCCCUUUAUAAAACCAUCAGAUCUCAUGAGACUUUUUCACUAUCACGAGAACAGUAUGGGAAAGACCCACCCUCAUGAUUCAAUUACCUCCCACCAGGUCUGUCCCACAACACAUGGGAAUUAUGGGAACUACAAUUCGAGAUUUGGGUGGGGACACAGCCAACCCAUAUCAGGAACAUAUAUGAGUUUGGACACAGAAGAAACAUUUUCUUCUAGAAUGUGCCAUUCCCCAUGGCCCUGGCAGAAUAACUUGACUUCUCUGGAUGCGCUUCCUCAUCUGUGACAUAUGUGAGUUGGUCCGGGAGACAUCAAAGGCUGCUUUUCUUUAUAACCAACAGGUGUUUCUGCAGUUCUCUCAGAAUUGUUCCAUUGCUGUCACAUGACCAACUAGAGUUCGAUAUUCUUAUAUGUUUAUACUCCACUUUAGAAAACAAAACCAGGCUGGAUGCAGUGGCUCACGCCUGUAAUCCCAACAGUUGGGGAGGCUGAGGCAGGAGAAUUGCUUGAGCUCAGGAGUUCAAGACCAGCCUGGGCAACAUCUGAAGACCCCCAUCUCUACAAAAUUUAAAAAAUUAGUUGGGCAUGGUGGUGUAUGCCUAUGGUCCCAGCUACUCAGAAGACUGAGGCAGGAGGAUCCGUUGAGCCCAGGAAGUCAAGGCUACAGUGAGCUGUGAUUGCAUCACUGUACUUCAGCCUGGGCAACAGAGCAAGACCCUGUCUCAAACAAACAAAACCAAAACCAAAAUACCUCCAUCAUGUUCAAUCUAAUUGGUUCAGGGUUUGGCACACUUUUCCUGAAAGGGUCUUAUAGUAAGUCUAAUAGACUUUGCAGGCCACAGAGCCUGUCUCACUUCUCAGCUCUGUCCAGGCACCCACAGGUAGCAUGUAAACUGAUGGAUAUGGCUGUGUCCAAAAAAGUUUUAUUGAUGGCCAUUGAAAUUUGAAUUUCAUAUAAUAUUGAUGACAUUUUUUUCAAUCAUUAAAAAAUGUAUAGAACCACUGUUACCUCUCAAGCCAUGCGAAACAGGUGGAUUUGGCCCAUGGGCUGAAGAGCCUGUCCCUCCUCUGUAGUCACAGGAUUUCCUCCAAGUUCCUGUUGUAGUCCGAUACACCACUGUGUCUUUUAUGGUGUUGUCCCAUCGUUGGAUUUGUGUUUCUUUCUUCUGAAUGAGCAGGGACUAUGAGACCUUCCUCUACAGCCAGAGUUCCUGGCGUAUCAUAGGUGCUUGCUGAAUGCCUUCCAAAUGAAUGGUGUAGUAAUUAUCCCACUUGCAGGAUGGCUGUGUCUACAUGAAAAAUUUGGAAGUUAUUGUUUCAUUCCUAGAAGGCAACAUCUGUUUGGAGAGAUCCGUGCUGGAAGGUAUUCAGCAGUAUCACGGUGUGUGCGUUGCUGACUUGCCCUCUCAGCAUUUCAAAGGCUGUGAUGCUUGUAAAUAAAUUCUCUUUACCUGACAGCGGCUGCUCUAAGAGUUACUCAGAUGGGAAGCUCUGAGUGCCUGUGAGUGUGAGUGAGCGAAGACUGUCAGAGGAAAGGGGAAAGGGCUUUGGAAAGGAGGAUGGAGAAGAGACAGGUACGACAGCAACGGAAGCCUUUCCUGCUACAGGUGGCCUGUAAAUAUACUGUGUAGCUCUGCAGGAAUUUCUAGAAUGUUCCUUUCCACUGUUGGCAAGCUUUAGUGAGUACAGUGUAUCUGUUGAGUCCAGACUCUCAAGAGACUCAUUUGAAUGAGCCCCUGAAAUACUUAUUUUAUACCUGGUUUAUAAUUUUAAAGCAAGAGCUUUCUUUAUAAUUUCAACCCAGGAAUGAUGUUUGGCAUUCAGGUAGCCUGGUUUGUGCGGGCACAGGCUUGUAUACGUGGAGGGUAUAAUGCCAGGAUGCACAAACAAGAAAUUACAACCAUUUACUUGUGUAUUAUUUUCUCAAUUUGAAGCACUUGAAUUCCAGAGCUCUUAAAUCGAGAGGUUGAAUUCCUGACAUUUUAAAGUAUUCCACUUGAAUAAGCUGUUUAAACCAUUAGAAUGGCUUUAAAAAAAAUUCACCUGUUUCUUGGAUCAUUUGCUCUUGAGAUUUACUUAAUUGAAGUUUUUGCCUUUUCAUUUUACUUCAAAUCAAAAUCAUGUCUAUAACGAAGAAAGUUCUAAUUUUAUUCCUAUGGGUAAAGUCGAUUUCAUACCUCAGACUGUUCUCCACCAGGUGAAAGCAGGCAGUUUUCCACUGCCACACGUAGCACAGCACACGUAGGCAUGCACUUAUCUUUUCUUCCAGAAGAAAUCCUUAAACUCUGACUUUCCCCCGCAGGGCAUCAUUUCUGUAAAUACAGCAGCUUUUACAUUUUCAGGGUCUCUGGCCCAUGUCAGCUCAAAGCUGAAUUUGACUAAAGCCAGUCCCUAGGGAAGAGAGGAGACAGGGAUGGGAAGAGUAUUAAUAAUGAAGUCACAAAAUUAUUCUGCUGGACAUUUUUUAUAAAUCAUUUGCUCCUGUUGGUGGAAAGCGAAAUAAUACUAAGAUGCAAAAGUAUGGAAGGUGGAACUAAAACUGAAAUUAUCAGUUCACAUAUUUGUAAACUGCGUAUUUUUAUCAGUUGCUGGAUUAGGCCCCUAGAGACAGUAGUGGCUAAGUGAUAAAGUCUUUGCCCUUGUGGCAUUUUAUAGUGUAGUGGGAAGACAGAAAACAAACAAGUAGAGAAACAAAUACGUAAUGUGAUCUCAGGUCCAGCUAAGCGCCAGACAGAAGAGAAAAGUAAGGUGAAGGUAGAAGGGUUAGAGCAGGAGGAAGGUGUUAUUUUAGGUCAAGUGGCCAGGGAAGGCGUUUUGAAGAAUUGAUACAGAUUCCAAAAUGAUGAGAAGGUGCAAUUGUGCCACCAUGGACGAGAAGAGCUUUCUAGGCAGAGGGCAGGUGCAAAGAUGGUAGGAACAAACACGGCUUGUUGAAAGAACAGCAAUGUUAGAGGAAUGAGCAAGACAAGCAGUGGUAGGACAGGAAUUGGGAAUGAUUAGCAGAGGCCAGAUUAUUGUAAGUCAUGAAGAAACUGGAUUUUAUUCUAAUUGUGAUGGGAAGCCACUGGAAGGUUUUGAGGAAGGGCAAAACUGAAUCUGGUGUACUUUUUAUAAAGAUGACUCUGCAGGGUGGAGAACAGAGUAGGUUGACAGGGGACAGGGGGUACGCGUGGAAUCCAGUUACAAGGCUAUAAUCAUAACCUAGAUGAGGAUGAUCAUGAUUUGACUGAGACUAUGGUGGUAGCAGUGGUGAGAUAUAGUUGACCGUGCACUGGACCUCUAGUCCAAGGUCUUGUCUUAGAGACUCAAGACCUUGCACUAGACAUUCUUUCCUGUCCCUUUAUCAUAAUUCCGGCCUAUAGUAGAAGCAUAAUGAAUUAUCUAUUUAAUUGAGACUAGAAGUAAGAUUAAGUUUAAAAUCUUCUACUGAUUCUUCCCUGGCCUUUCAUAGCUCUCCCGGGUUCCAGAAAGCUCCACUAGCAACUCAGUUUUAUUGGUCAAAGUUUUCUUAGUCCCCAGGCUUAGGUAUGUAAUAACCUUUGACUGGUUUUAAGCUAGGGAUGGAGAAGAGAGGGAAAAAGGAUAAUUGUCAUAUUUUAUACAGUAAUUAUACUUAAGCUUUGUGUUACACUUUGCAAUUUACAGAAAGUAUUUUAUUUGUAUCACUGUUUUUGCACAGGAGAAUUUUGAGAAAUUAUGAGAUGGAGGGAUGGAUGGACGAAUGGAUGGACGGGUGUUCAGGUGGAUGGACAGACUGACUAUUGGGUGGGUGGAUGGAUGGAUGGAUGGAUGAACAGAGUGACUAUUGGGUGGAUGAAUGUUUGAUGGAAGAAAGAAAGGAAAGAGGGAGAGAAGGGAGGAAGGGAAGUCUCUUUCUCCUCUUCCCCAGAUUGGAGGGAUGAAUUGAGGGAGGGGUUAUUAUUCAUUUAAUUAGAUUUUCUUAGUAAUCCAGAUCUGAACUUUUCUAACCGUCGUGUCAUGCUUUCUCUCUUCUUCAGCCAUAAAGCCGCAUCCGGCUGGGCACGGUGGCUCACGCCUGUAAUCCCAGCACUUUGGGAGGCUGAGGCGGGUGGAUCACAAGGUCAGGAGUUCAAGACCAGCCUGGCCAAGAUGAUGAAACCCCGUCUCGACUAAAAAUACAAAAAAUUAGCCGGGCGUGGUGGUGGGUGCCUGUAAUCCCAGCUACUUGGGAGGCUGGGGCAGAGAAUUGCUUGAACCCAGGAGGCAGAGGUUGCAGUGAGCCGAGACCACACCACUGCACUCCAGCCUGGCGACAGAGUGAGACUCCAUCUCAAAAAAAAAAAAAAAAGCCGCAUCCUGCAAAUAAGAUGUGAAAGGAGGUGUGGGCCCUGGGUGGGGCGGGCACUCGGAUGAGAUUCUCUGCCCACUCUGUAGAAUUACUCUUCACUGUGGCUCUCAGAACUCGGAGCCUGUGAAAACCAUGGUUUCACGGUGAGGGGCCUCUACCCUAGGCUGCAUUUCCUGAUGGCCUUUGACCUUCCCAGGCCUGGAGGAAAUCAUGCCCUGGGAAAAUAUAUGUUUUAACUUAAAGAUGUAACCCAAUUAAAAUGUAAACACCAGUUCUCAGCUUUAGCCCUCUACUGUGAGGGUGAUGUAAUAAGAAAAGCCACUGAUGUUUUGGGGUUGAUGAAAAUGGUAACUUUUAAAGGUAACAUGGGUUUUAUUGAAAUAUAAUUCACAUACCAAACAAUACACCCAUUUAAAGUACAAUUCAGUGGUUUUUUUCGUUUUUUUCGCAGAGUUGUGCAGCCAUCACCACAAGCAGUUUUAGAAUAUUUUCAUCACCCAGUGCGGGGGAAAAACCCUGUACCCUUAAGCCAUCACCCCUUCUCACACCAAAUGAUGACUUAUUAAAUCAAGUUGGCAAGUCAUGGCCUGCAGGAAAGUGAGCUGUGAUUCUCAGCACUCUGAUUAGCAAGUGGCUUUCCAGCAAGUGUCACGGGGCUGCGGGUUGGGGUCUGGGGGAUGCAGGAUGCAGGACUGGGGGCUGAUCUCACUGCUUGGAGUAUCUCAUGGGGCUGCCUCUCCGGCUGCAGGCUGUGUGUCCUCAGGAGUUUGUUUGUUUGUUUGUUGGUUUAACGAGUCACUUAGCACACAUAGAAAAAGCUCCGCUUUUUUGGAGAAAAAGGAAAAAUGUGAAUUUUGAAGUAUUCUUUUAUAUCUCUUUUAUCUGAAAAAAAAAAAAAGCUCCACUUUUUUGGAGAAAAAGGAAAAAUGUGAAUUUUGAAGCAUUCUUUUAUAUCUCUUUUCUCUGAAAAAUUCUUCUUUCUCACUCAACCACUUUUCCAAAUGCUGGUCCUGAUGGAUGGAACAGGCUCCCUUUUUACUUUACUUCAUAAGUGGUUUAUAACCCUGAGGCUGAGAAACUGUAUAAAUGAGGGGGAAAGAAGUAUCCUACAAGAAAUACCCAGUUAAAGAAAGGAAAACUGGAGAAACCAAGUCCCUAUUUCUUUUUUUUCUCCAGUGCCUUUUUGAAGGCACCUAAAGUCCAAGGAAUUUUGAAAUGAGAACUCUACAGUGAAAUGUUGUUUCUCAUUUUCAAACAAAGAAACAUUUCUUACUCUUGGGUGUUUUGUGUGCAGAAACACUUUUUUGAUAUGUCAUAUUUAAAGGUGAGAAUGAUCCACUUGGUCAGUAGAUCCGUGGAGCGUCAGGAAGACGGAAAGAGGAAAGGGCCCCGAAUGACCCACCUGCAUAUCUUUUGCAUAUGUUUCCAAAAAUGCAAGUCUGUUCAUCAUACUCGAUUUUUCCUUUGUUUUUAUUCGCGUUUUAGCAUUCUUUUCCUGCAUAAAAAAAAUGUAUGCAGUCCUGCUGCUGCCUUCAAACUAGCUUUGUGAUUUGAAGCUUCACUUUGCUCAUCUAUAAAAUUCAUUCAGCAGCACCCACUGUGCUGCAUUCUGUAGCACUUUCAUCCACCCAGCAGUAUGUGUCUUUGUUACUUUGCAUCUUCCACCACACCCCUAGAGUGGAAGCUCUGAGGACAGGGACUUUCUUCAUUCAUUGUGCUAUCCCCAGCAUUUCGAACAGUGCUUGGCAUCCGGUAGGUUAUUGGUUAAUAUGAGUUGAAGGAAAUGAACGUACCGGUGCCCAGUGCAAAAAGAAAAUUUGAUGAUUCCUAAGGAGCCCUCUAGCUUGAACAUUUUAUCAUCGUGCUGUAGCCUCUCUCCAGAAACUGGCACUUUUUUGUAUGUAUCUGAAGGGUAACUGGAUUUUCACAUUCCCUGAUCUUAACUUUUGCUAUGUUUCUCUUCUCUGUAAUCUUAAGCAAGUUAAGUAUGGGGAAUCUUCAUUCUUGUAGCUAUAAGACAAGGUAAGUGGUUUUCCUUUCAUCUUGUUUGAAGUGAAAUUCUUAUACUGGUCUUAUCCUGAAGGGCCAAUUUCUUUUUGUAUUUCAGCUUUGAUAUUAGCAUAUGCCCAGAGCCUAUAGGAAAUCAGUCAACAGACCUAGAAAAAGUCUAAUAGCUUUGCCUUUUCAUACUCCUCACACUUUGCAAGGUUUUCAUGACAGUUGGUAGGUGAACUCUGAGCAUAUUUGGCCAGAGGCAGAGUCCUGUGUAUCUUUGCUUACUAACGAUACAAUAGGAGGGCUUGUAGAUGACAUUUGUAGGUAUGGCUUAGAUAGGGGGAAAUAUUUGAAGGUUCCUGCAUUAUUUUGGGAACUUGCCUGGGGUUGCAUUUGUAUUAUAAGGUCAAAUUUAAAGGCAGGGAAGGCUGUUACCAAUAUCAUGUAUGCAUGUCUAAGGAAAUAUUUUGUCUUUUGCAGGAACUUGAUUUCAUUUUGCUUGGUUUUCUCGGGGGUGAUUUCACCUCAGUUCUGUGUAAAGAGGAUUCCCAGAUCUCUAGUGUUAAGACUGAAUGCCUAUCUUGACUAGUUGACUAGGAGUUGGGUUUGGGGGUUGGCUUGUCUGUAACUGUUUCCUGUGCAAAGCCACCUUAGCAUCAGUGCAAUAAGCUUUUCUUGUGGAGCCAGGGCUGAAUAUAGCUUUCUAUUGUUUUCAGUCUCCUGCGAGAUGGAGCUUAGGGGAGCCCUUAUGUGAACUGAUGCAUCCCGGAGAGAGCGCUCAUGUGGUUUCGUUGGCGGGCGCAAUGCAGACGCAGCUAUGUUUAGAUUCUUCCCUCUCAGUUACCAGGUGCCCAUUCAUACCACUCCCUCACUUCCGCAGGUCGUGGAAAAUGGUGAAAAUAGGAUUGUUGAGGUAAUUUUUUGAAGCACUGUUAUUGUGGCUGACAUUGAUCAUUUGCUACUUCAAUUGUAUUCCAUGAUGUCAAAUUUACUGUAUUUACCUGUAGCAGAAGGAAGAUAAACCCUCUCAGAAAAUGAAAGGGCAGCAUUAUUGUGUGUUCAUGAAGUCAUACUGUGGCCUCAUUGGCUAUCAUUGCAGUCAUCGAGGAUACAUUCUUUAUAAAAUAACACAAUAAGGCUGAUGUGUGGAGGUCACGGGUUGUCACAACUGUAUCUAGGUUAAAAAAUGUUGCUAUCCACCCAGCCCUCCUUAAAAGAGGCUAUUUAUAAUACAAUGCGGGUGUUUGUGCUACUUGCAUCGGGCAGGCGCAUCCUGAAUGAAGAAUUAGCUCUUUAAAAAGAGCAUUAAAAAUAAAACUCAUGUUGUAAAGAUCUGACAGCCAAAAGAGAUUGCGGGCUGUUGUAAAUGCUUGCUUAUUUCCCAAGGUUGCUGAGAUACUUGCUCUGGGUCAUGAAAUAUUUUGAUCUGGCAUGUAGGCUUUGCUUUUUAAAAACAAAUUUAAAUAUUCUAGAUAUGAAUAUACCUACCUACUUCCUAACAAUCACUUGGCGGGCCCUUUGGGGAUAGGCGCCCCCACCACCCUCCUGGGAGGGAGGGUCUGUCUUCUCUCCUCCCUGCGUCGGCCACACUGCUGCCUCUUAUUCCACCAGGCUCUGGCUUCCUGCAUUGGCCGUUCUACUUCCGUCUCCCAUCAGGGCAGGACUCGGGGAAGAAACUUGGGCAUACAGAAUGUGUAAAUUACAGCUAAGGUGUAAAGCUGCUAAGAAAAAAUAAGCACCCCGAUUAAUGGACUGUGUCACCGUCAGGUGAAUAUUCUAAGUGAUUUUUAAAAAUAGCUCUUUCGCGAGAGUGUUUUGGUUUGGGGUGUGUAUUCUUGGAUUGUUUUUAUUAUUUUUCUGCAUAGCCUUGAUAGGAAAAUGUAGAACUCUCUUAUCAUAAUACAUGCAGUAUUUAGAUUGGAUACACUUCUUGCUCCCCUUGCAUUGAUUUCCUGCAUUUCUCCUUUGCCUUUUCCCGGUACUUAAGCAUCAAGUCGUGGGCAUUUUCCCAGUGUAAUUGUUGAUUAAGUGCUGCAUAUCCCGCGAUGAUUAUGAGAAGAUUACUGUAUUCAGCUUUUAAUCUUGUGAGUGUCAAAUAUUUUACUUUAAUGGUAUCAUUAUUAUUAUUAUUCGUAGCUCUUUCUGUUUGAGUAAUGCAAUCAGGCAAAAUAAAGGUAAUGCCACAAAUUCAGCAUUUUUAUAAUAAUUCUUUGUCUCAGAAUGGAAAGUGCCACCUUCAGGCCAUUCUCAAAUACUGAUGGAGAUCUAUACAGAUGGGAAUCAGAAUAUUUUAGGCUUCUUUUGGUUGCAAGUAACAGAAAGCAACAAGCUUAGGAAGAAAUGCAUAUAUACAUGAGGGCGGGGAAUCUAUUGGAGGAAGUACUGUGGGUCUCUCAGGACCCCAAGGCCAAGCAUGUAUAAUAGCUGGUGGUCAUCAAGACUGGAACCUGGAAGGCUGUCAGGAACGCGGUCACCACUCGUACCUUCUCUCUGUCACUUUCUGUGUUCUCUGUUUUCUCUAAUGCUGCGUGCAGGAUGAUCAGUGGUCACCUCGUGGCAUUCAAGCCAAAUAUCCCCCGUGGAAGAGAAUAGCUCAGGUGGCCUGGCUGUCUUUCAGUUCCAGUGCCCACUUCCCAGGAACAACAGAAAUUCUGUGAAUGGAGUCACUGAAAUCAUGUGACCCACCUGGUCCUGACGCCUUGUCCAGGGGAGCAGCAGCAUGGACAAAAAACGUGGUAGCCAGGGGCUUUCUCCAUGGGUGGGGAGAGGCAGAGCUCCUAAGGGAAGAGGCCCCCCAUCGCGAGUGGGAUAGACACCCCAAACAGAGCCCCGUUUUCUGUUUUCUUGAGAGAGACAGAGACUCCGGAUUCUUAUCUAGCCUCCAGUGGCAACUUCUCAUGCUUCUCCAGGGUUCCACAUGCUGUAUCCCAGAGCAUUGACACUGAGGGCAAGAGCGUGGGAUUCUGAAGAGAAUCCCAAAAAACUAUUUAUAAUCAACUGUCUGUUGCCUAGUGGGAGAAAAGGAAUCAUUGGUAUGAACAACUCCAGUUACUGUUUCCACAGAACCAGCAGGCUUUCUGGUUCUUUCCUGAGGCACUCCACUUUACACAGGAGGAAACUGAGGUUGGAAGGUAAGUGUAUCACCUGAUGUCACACAGCCAGAAAGGAGGAAGCUGGGUCACUGAUGCUGGCGGACCCCAAAAUGCAGAACCCACGUGUGUCUGUCUCAUUUAGCCACCAUGGUGGCUUUGGGUUGGAUUUUCACAAGCUCACGGUGGCCACCUCAUGAGCAUGCACAGAGAGCAGUAGAUAGCUAAUGGGGAAGUGGCUGAGUAGAAGUUGGCCUGAAAUGGAAAAUUUGCUGGGAAUAAUUUACAGACCAAGUAAUAUUUGUGAACAUUCACGGGAACUUAAGCUUGGCAUGAGCUAUCUAUACAGAAAUCUAAAAUCAGUCUAAACAUUUGGGUUGGACUUGGAGCCAUAGGCCAUCGAAGAGCAAUGCCGUUGUGUCACUUUGGGUAGGGAGUGUCUGGCUCAGUCACUACACGUCACUCAGAGGAUGCCAUUGUCAGUGGUAUGGGGGGUAGCACUAAUUGGAAAAAUGGAGGCUUAUCAGAGUCACUGCUAACUAAUAAAAUCACUGGGAAGUGGGUGCAGUUUUUCCAAGAGUGAUUAUUGUGGGUGGCAAGUAUUGAGUGAGGCGCAGAGGGAAUAAAAUCAAACUGUCUAUACACGUGCUGCUGCAGUGGAAAGAACACUGGGCUGGGAGUCCUGGGAGCCAGGCCAAGCCCUUCCCCUGGGCCAUUCGUGGGACCCCAGCCCUACCCCUGGGCCAUUCGUGGGACCCCAGCCCUGCCCCUGGCCAUUUGUGGGACCCCAGCCCUGUCCCUGGGCCAUUCGUGGGACCCAGCCCUGCCCCUGGCCAUUCGUGGGACCCCAGCCCUGCCCCUGGCCAUUUGUGGGACCCCAGCCCUGCCCCUGGCCAUUUGUGGGACCCCAGGCAGGUUACUGCUCCUCUCAGGCCCUUUCUUCUUUUCUUUUUAGUAUGUUGUUUAAAAAAAUAGUAAUAAAAAGCAUUAUACCAAAAGAUAUAUAGUGAAAAGUAAGGCAUUCUCUUGUCAGGGAAGUACAGCUUUCUAACCUCCUCCCCAGAGGUAACCACCAUGACCAGUUUCCUCUGUAUCAUUUGACAGCUGAUGCCUUUACACAGCCCUGAAUGUGUGUGCGUGUUUACACAGAUGGGCACAGGCCAUGUGCAUUAUCCUGACUUUUUUUUUUAUCACGUAGAUUUCUCUGUAUCAGUGCAUACAGAUUUAUUCAUCCUUGUUAUUGGUUUCAGAGUAUUUCACUGUAUGGUGGUACCAGAUGUAUUCAAGCCACCCCUGGUAGUGGGCAUUAUACAAACAGUGUUGCAGUGAAUACUCCUACAUGUAUCUUUGCACACAUGUCUUCACCAUUGGUUAAAAGUGGGGCCGGGCGCGGUGGCUCACGCUUGUAAUCCCAGCACUUUGGGAGGCCGAGGCAGGCGGAUCACGAGGUCAGGAGAUCGAGACCACGGUGAAACCCCGUCUCUACUAAAAAUACAAAAAAAAAAUUAGCCGGGCGUGGUGGCAGGCGCCUGUAGUCCCAGCUACUCGGAGAGGCUGAGGCAGGAGAAUGGCGUGAACCCGGGAGGCGGAGCUUGCAGUGAGCCGAGAUCGCGCCACUGCACUCCAGCCUGGGUGACAGAGCGAGACUCCGUCUCAAAAAAAAAAAAAAAAAAAAAAAAGUGAUAUUCUGUUGUUAUUUAUUUCCUUAACUGGAAAGGAAGGCCAUUUGUGUUUCUUUUUCUGUGUAUUUUCUGUUCAUGCCCUAUGCUCAUUUUUUUCCCCUAUUGAAUUGCUUUUUCUUAUUAUGUCAUAUUUUCCAAAGAGAUAAUGAUCCAAGUGCUGGUCAGUUCUGGGGAAAGUGAUCUGAUAAGACGUUUGCUGAGAACCAUCGUGUGUCCAUCGAGAAGUCUGGGUACCCAGUAAAAGGCCCUUCUCCAUGUUUUUGAGGUGUGGCCAUGGCAAGUUUUCAGCAAGGCUCAUUCUGUACUUAUCCUUUUGAUACUUAGUAAAGGGAUGUGUCUGCUCUACACAGAGUGGAGCUUUGACCAGUCACUGCCGGAUGAACAAGAGGGAGAGCAUGGCCUUGUGGGACAAGAUUGUCUUUGCAACCACUGGUCUUCCAGACAUAAACUUGGAUGCAGACCCUCUUGGCUCCAGAAUUUACAUGUCAUGUGACCUUCUCUGGGUCUCAGUAUCCUCAUUUAGAAAAUAGGAUCAUAAGACUGGUGUUGCAAGGUGGUUGUGAGCAAUAGAAGAACCAUAUAUUUAAAGUAGCUAGCACAUGAUUGGUUUUCAAUAAUUGGUAGCUUCUAAUAUUAGUAUCAUUGUUAUUAUCAUUGCUAUUAUUACUAUCAUUACCAUAAAUAAAACGAUUGACAGUAUAGGCAUGGGCUAAGACUGAACAAUUGGUUAAUGCAGCAACCAUGUUAUAUUGGACUUUGACUUCAGGAACCUGCUCCAGAGGAUGCAAUUUGGUGUGCAGGCCAUCUGCAUCUUUGCAAUAAAAGCUUCUUUGCACCUAUGUCUAUUUCAUUUGCCUUGUGACUCUAUAAUUUUCUUUCAGGCCUUGCACCUCUGUUGCUAGACAUAGUACAUAAAUCCCAUGCAGUUUCCUGGCCUUGAAAAGGGAGAGUGACUUGAAAGUACUCUACUUGAAUUCUAAAUGGGAAAGAUGUAAAAACUACUCCUCCCCCCUCCAAGAAAUCUGAGAGACAGAAAAUAGAUCUUUCUCUCUGGAUCUCUUAAACCCCGCUUACAAAAUUAACAAAGGAAGAUGGAUGGCUGAAAUAAGACUUCCAAAGAAGAGAUGGGAACCUCCUAAUUGAUUCCCACAGAACUGCUGGUUAUUUACAACUAGGAAAAUUGCCUGCUUGGAGAUACCAAUUCAGCUCUUGUGGUUCCGCCGACUUGACAGGAAACAGUCUCUGCUCCUUGCUGAAAAAGCUCUGAGGGAAGAGGGGGGCGGAGUGAAUUACAUCUAACUGUUUAACACUAUCUCAUUCAUAGAUUUCUGCCUUUUCCCCCCGGUUGAUCAUUCGCAGUCUCCUUUUUAGUAUAUAAUUGUUCAUUUUAAAUGUUCAUAUGUGCUAUAGCUGGGUGAAUGUUAAUUACUGGCAGUCUGCAAUUAUGUUGUCUGUUUGUCAUUUCCGUGGUGGCAAGUGUGGUAAGCUAGAAUUCUUCCAAUAGCAAGAAUUGUAAUUUAUAAUCUAUCCCCAAAACCAUUUAGAAAUGGAUACAUUUCACUCACACUGUUGAUGUAGUUGAGUAAAUGCAUUGUUAUUGAUAUUCACUAUGAGGUUUUAAGUGCAAAAUUCCCGCUGUACACUAACUGAAAGGCACCCAGUAUUUUGGCUAAUUCGUUAAACUCAAAACCACUUUUUGAGCAUCCAAUAUGUACUAGGUGCGUAGGACAUAUCUCUAAAUGAACUAGAUAAAAAAUAAAAUAUUCUGCAGUUCUCUGUGUAACUACAGGGACUUCCCAAGUGACCCUUUAAGCCACUGUGUGGCUAGUGGCAUUGAGUGUGUGUCCCGUAGGGUGCUGAACUCCUCCAUUACCAGCACUGUAGUUGUGAGGAAUAUGGUAAGAAGUUAGAAGCCAGUGGCAAGUGAAGUUCUUAUUUUACAUUUAAGUCCCCCUCUAUGAUAAUGGCAGCUGAGACAGACUUGGGAAACAUAAUUUGAAGAUCAGAUUCGUUCCAGACAUCCCUGGAAUCUGUGUGCAAAUUAAAUUGGGGUACAUCAGAUUGAUCCAGUCAAGAAACAGAGUGGGAUUGGAAGGCAUGUUUGUGCUGUAGAGACCAGGUAAACACAGUCACCGUUGAUGUUGCCUGAAGCCGCAGUGCCUCAAGGGGAGGUUCCAGCAACCUAGACCACAACUCACCUGCGGGGAUUGCCAGUGUCGGGCUCCGUUCUGGUGCUGUGAGUAUACAAGGAUGGGAAUUUGGAAAGGACGCAGAGUAGAGCUGAAGACUAAAGGUUCCUGCUUUAAAGGUAGAGGGUGCUGAAGAGCAACUCCUUAGACGAGAUCGGAUUUAAGAGAACUUAGGUAGUUGGAAAUACACUGACUUAAAAGGCUCGAGGAAGAUUGCUGACUUCCCCAUAUUCAUUCAACAACUUUUUUUGUGCCCAUAGUAUGCUAGAAUGUGAACUAAGACAUCUCUGCCAUCGUACAGCACACAGUUCUAUGGGAGAAGCAAGACACAGUGUGGACCGAUAGAUAGAUGUGAUGUCAUAUAAUAUAAUGCAAUGUAGUAUCAUACAGCUAUGAGUGCUACAAAGAAUUAUGCAGCAGAGUAAAGAUGAAGCAUGGCUGAGGUACUACUUUAUUAAUCCUUUCUAGUACUUUACUGUACUUCUCAAUGUGAGAAGAAAAAUUGAGGGGGAGGGGUGGUCACUUUUUGUUUUCCGGUUAAGCCUUUUACUUUGAGAUGAUCCUAGAUUCACAUGUAAGAAAUGAUACAGACAGAGCCUGUGUACCCAUUAUGCAGUUUCUCCGAGCGGUAACAUCUUGCAAAACAGUAGUGCAAUAUCACAACCAGCUUGUUGACAUUGAUAUAGUCAAGAUAUAGAACAUUUCUAUCAUUUACGAUGAUAAAUGCUUAGGAAUACAAUCACUAGUUCAUAAGUUAGUUGCAUGUUUAGUUUUUAACAAACCGCUAAACUAUUUUCCAGAGUAUCUGUACCAUUUUACAUUCUCAUGAGCGGUGGGUGAGUGAUCCCGUUUCUCUGCAUCCUUGCCGGCAUUUGGUGUUGUCACUAUUUUUUCAUAGCCAUUCUGAAGGUAUUUAAUGGUAUCUCAUUGUGGUUUUAAUAUGAAUUUCCCAAAUGGAUAAUAAUGUUGAAGGUAUCUCCAUGUGCAUAUUUGCCAUCUGUAAAUCUUCUUCGGCAAAAUGUCUAUUUAUGUCUUUUGCUCACUUUCUAGUUGGAUAUUUGUUUUUUUUUUUUUCCCUGAAAUGGUGACAGCUUUGUAUAUAUUCAGUAUUGCCCUGCCACAUGCUCUCAGUUGCCGAUUUUGGUUGUUUGCCAAAUGAUCAUGUGUCAGAGGGGGGCCUGAAACUUAGGUCAAGGGGGAAUUUGUCUUCUGUUAUAUGUAGACAGAUGGUGGUGACUGAUGGAAGAGAGAGGUUCUUAGAAGACCAAUGAGAAUCUCUUUCUGGGCUAAAAGAGCUGAUAACUGGUGGGGUACAUGUGGCUGGAAUUUCUCCAGGUCAGCUCCUGGCAUCAGGAUGCAAUGCUUGGUGGGCAGAAGAUGGAAUUCAUCAAAGGGUAGAACUUCUUAAAGGCUUGGGACUCAGGCCUCCAGGUCAGAAAACUAGAGGCUUUAAGUGUCCCCACAGCUAGAGCAUUUUUAAUCUUUGGGGAGAGGGCAUUAGGCCUCCCUAUCAGGACAAUGAAAGGCUCAGCUUCUAAUUAGCAUGUGCAAAUUGGGAACAAAUGAGCAGAAACCCCCUUCUUCUAGCUUACUGUUAGCUCCCAUAGCCCCUUGCCAAGAUGCUGGCCCUCUCUAAAGUCCAGAGUCCUCAGUGGUAGAGGAGGUGCUGGCUGCAUGCUACUUUCUUUUUAUUUUUUUUGAGACAGAAUCUCACUCUGUUGCCCAGGCUGGAGUGCAGUGGCGUGAUCUCGGCUCACUGCAAGCUCUGCCUCCCGGGUUCACACCAUUCUCCUGCCUCAGCCUCCCGAGUAGCUGGGACUACAGGCACUUGCCUCCACACCCGGCUAAUAUUUUGUAUUUUUAGUAGAGACGGGUUUCACUGUGUUAGCCAGGAUGGUCUUGAUCUCCUGACCUCAUGAUCUGCCCGCCUUGGCCUCCCAAAGUGCUGGGAUUACAGGCAUGAGCCACCGUGCCCGGCCUGCAUGCUACUCUUAAAGGCUCCUUCUGGCUUCCAGUCACUCUUGUGACUCUGACCAGACUUUUGAUAGGAUGGGCCUCUAGGGAGAUGUGCUUCUCCUUAGCUGAGAGCCAGGGGCCUAGUGACUACAUCCAAGAAAGGAAUGCCUUUUUCAUAGAGCAAAUCUUGCUUGACUUGGAGCCAUAGACCCAGCCACGAGCACCAGCUCUGCCACUCCUUAGUUGUGUGACCUCAGGCCAAACACUCCUUAACCCGCCUGGGCUUCAGUUUCUCCAUCUGCUGCUAUAACAAAUCACCCCAAACCUAGUGGCUUCAAACAACACAAAUUUACAAUCUUACAGUUCUGGAGAUCAGAACUCCAAAAUUGGUCUUGGGGGGCUAAAGUCAAGGCAUCAGCAGGCCUGCAUCCCAUCUGCAGGCUCUAGAAGAGAAGCCGCUUUCUUUCCUAUCGCAGCUUCUAGAGGCUGCCUGCAUUCCUUGGCUUGUGGCCCCAUCCUCCAUCUUCACAGACAACUGCAGCGGGUCAGGUUCUCACAUGAAAUCACUCUGACCUCCCUCUUUCACUUGUGAGGACCUUUGUGAUUACACUGGGCCCACUUGGAUUAUCUAAUCCAGGAUAAUGUCCCCAUCUUAAUUCGAGCUGCAACCUUAAUUCCCCCGUGCCAUGAAAUCUAACAGUCAACAUGUGCUGGAGAUCAGGAUGUGGACAUCCUUUGGAGAAGACGUGCUUCCUGCCACGAUUGCCAAGACCCCACCAAUGAAGCAUUUCACAGUUCCAAAGACCUGCUGGGCGUUCAAGUGUCGUCCUCUUUGUUGGAAACCUCCAGGGUCACAACAGCUGAUGGUUUCCAAGAGCUGCUGGUGCUGAUUGGGGUCGGCAUAAGCCCCUCACACAGGCACACUCCUGUUCUUUACUUUGUGUGGUUAGCUUAUCUUCUGGGCUUUCUUUUGAUUUCAAAGCAACAUGGCAUGGGGAAGGAGGUCACAAAGAGACAGUAAGGGAAUCAGUAAGCCACAAGAUUCUAACAGCCCCUGGUUCCAAAGGGCCCUCUCCAUGGUGACGUUUUCAAAACAUCAGGCAUUACUCUCCAUUCUGCUCUUCUCUUCCUGCAGGUUUACUUUAGCACAUACUUACAGUCACCUAUGGGCUUAAGGAUUGAAUAAGAAAUAGCCCACACUCUCAGGGGGCAGUUGCCAGAGAGUGGGCAGAAGUGACCAUAGUUCAAGGCAUAAAGUUACGAGUAUCAUCAGGGAACAGACAAAAGCCAGGAAAGGUCAGAGGCAGGUAACUUCAUUUCUUGCUGCAGGAAUUAGGGAGGUUGCAAGACGGGGGCAAAUUUGAGCUGGCACUCACAGAGUGAGUAAGACUUCAACAGCUGGGGACGGGGCAGCCCUGCUGGCGACGAGGACUCGGUGGACCAAGACAGGAAAACAUUAGCAUGUUCAGGGCAAGCACAACGCAGGGGUGUGUAGGGCUCGACUAGGGAGAGAACUCCACUUUGCUUACCAGCUCAUGCCUGCCCAACCCUUGAAAAAUAAAGAUCUUCUCCUUUACUCAUGGUGGACGGUGAAGCAGGAGUAUAGUGUUGCAUGGCAAAAGCAGGGGAGGGGGGGAGGGAGGGAGGGAGGGAGGGAGAGAGAGAGGAUGCCACAUACUUUUAAACAACCAGAUAUCAUGAGAAUUCACUUACUAUCACAAGGACAGCACCAAGGGGAUGGUGUUCAACCGUUUAUGAGGGAUCUGCCCCCUCAUGAUUAAUUCAGUCACCUCCCACCAGGCCCCACCUCCAACACUGGGGUUUCAAUUCAACAUGAGAUUUGGAUGGAGAUGGAGAUUCAAACCCUAUCAACAGCAGAGGCAGAGAGUAGAGUGAUGCAGCCACAAGCCAAGGAACACCAAGGCUUGAGAGGAGGCAGGAAAGGAGUCUCCUCUGCAGGCUUCCAAGCAAGUGUGGUGGCCCUGCCAAUGCCUUGAUUUUGGACUUCUAGCCUCCAGAACUAUGGCUAUUAAAGUUCUGUUGUUUUGAAGAACUCAGUUUGUGGCACUUUGUUGCAGUGGCCCUAGGAACUAAUACACGUAGUUUGUACCCCUGUGCUGGGGGAAUUUGGCUGGGUUCUCCUUAGUCUUUCAGAGCAGUUUAGAUGUGCCUGUUGAAGUCAACCAAUGACUAUUAGGUGGUCUUUGGGGAGAAUCUGAUGAUCUGAGGGGCACUGUGGCUUUCUGACCUGUAUGUAGGUUGAGGUCUCUGGGAUCUACAUGAGGGACAGAGUGACCUGGUGAGGGAAGGAUGGAGUGAACAGGCACAGGCUCUUUCUGAUUCCUUCAGGGACUACCUGUACAGCCAGUUGUGACAUGGUUCCCUUUAGAAAAUGGGGACCUAGACUGGCGUCAUGAGGUUUAGGCCAAGGGCUUUGAGUUCAUUUACUUCAACUCCUCCUCUUGACAGAUGAUAAACUAUCCCAGAGAGUAUCUUGGGACGUACCCGAGGUCACUAUGCUAGUAGCAGAAUCAGAACUUGAACUUGGAUCUUGAAUCUCACAUCCAGAUCACUGAGAUUUCUAGAGACUCCAAAUUCUGUGGUUCUCACUUCUGAAAAUUUUCUUGGGCACAGAAUUUUAAGUUAAACCAUUAGACUAUGUUUACUGGGAGUGGAGGGGGAUGACAGAGAUUAUAAAAAAGAAAAAGAAAAAAGGGGAACAUGUUGACCUUCAGGAAAGAGAUUUGAAAGAAUGAUCAAGUUUAUAUGACUUAAAAAAUUCAUAGAUACUUAGUUUUACUAUGUGUCACUGAAAAACAAUUUUCUACCCAGUGGAUGGGAAAUUCCAGCUCCUAGCUUCUUCAUUCAUGGACUCAUUACACCUAGGUAUUACAGAGUAUAGAAUUUACAAAAUCAGCAGCCAUUAUGUGACCUCAGACACCACCAAGUUACCACUUUUUGCCUUUUUCUGACUUUUCCGUCCUCCCUCCGCAGGUUGAAGUAGUGCAACUAAUGUUAUUUCAGUUAGAUUUCAGCUUUCCAGGCUUGCUUUAAAUCACAAGAGCGGGAUGCCGGGUAGGUUCAUUAUGGUCGCAGCACUGCAUAUACAGCAUCUUGGUAGCUUUAAAUCAAUAUCUCUCCUAAGGGUUCAGAAGAAAUGUCACAUACAAGGUACAUUGCUUGCACAAGUGUCCUUUGUGUCAGAUGCCCUCGAAUGUAAUUUCUAUCAGUAAGACAUAAAGGACACAUGGAGAGGGAUCAUUUUGCUUGGCAGCACAGGCUGAAAGGAAGGAGGGGAGGUGGUUAUUUUUUGUUGUUACUAUGACUGUUUCUUGGGUUCCUCCAACAAAGAAAUGCUGUGUGGCUUUCAAGUAUCUCUCAGUGCAAAUGCUUCCUGUCACAAGUGAUCAGUGUCCUGCCAUUUUGAAAUGGCAGAAGUGGCUUUAGCAGCAUUAUGAAAUUAUCAUUGCCGUGCUGGAUAGCUGAGACCAGCCUCUCAGAGAAAUUGACGCUCUCGCCAGCUUUCCUCGAAUUAUGUCUCGUAAGGCUGGCGCGCUGUCACUUUAACAAACUAUCACCCUGAAAUGGGGUUGCUCCAUCCAGGGCUGUGGAAAAACAAGGUUAGAAGAGCAGAGGACUUGUCGAUGGUGAGUAAGUGGGAUUAGUUAAACCAAUAUUGAAAAAUGGUUUGCACAACUCUGGGCUGCUCAUGUUCCCUCUGAAAACAUGUGCUCUUUCAGCCCGCAUAGGCACAGAGACAGUUAAAGCUGCAUCAGGACCUUUGUUAUAUAAUCUUUCCCGGUUAUGUAAUUAAGGGUCCUGUUUUUUCUUGCCCUGGUUUACAUCGAUUGAAAUGUGGAUAGAAGAUCGCAACAGUUCAUAGUCUCCUGUAAUAGCCGAGGCAGUAAUUUCAUUGAUUAAAGCACUCAGGGUCUAUUGGUCAUCAGUAACACUAUCUGCAGAAUGAACUAUGUAUAUGCGAACAGUUUGUGUUUGUAGAAUAUUAAAUAAGUUUCAGACACAUAUAUCCUGCUACAGAUGAGCAGUUUGAAAGAACUGGCCUUUGGAGUCUGACUUAUAGGAACCUUCUGGGUUCUGCCCAGGUUACUAGCAGGUCAGAAUCUUGGGGCAGGCCUAGAUGUGGAAAAGUCCAAUAAAGCAGUGAGUUCUACGUCCGCCAUGAGGCAGCUCCUGUGGCUUUUUCCAGUCUUGGCCCAGUUUCAGUUAGGAAACGUGACACCCUGAAGGCAGAUAGUAUUCUUGGGGCUUAGCUCCAUGCCUUCCCACAACACUGAGCUUACCUGUCCCUGAAGCAGUGGCUGCUGGCACCAUUGGGGCCCCUCCCACCUCUUGCAAAUGUCAUCUCAGUAGCCAUAAUUUGCUGCCCUGCCGUGCUCCCAGCCAAUCGCUUUGAGCAGACCUAGAGAUUAAUUGCCCCCGUGUUCCCCGCCCCCACCUGCUUCCAUCUGCUCGGUCUUGGAAGGAUUGAACCAUGGGCACAUCUGCCUUGUGCCCCACCACAGAGGCACCACAAGGUAGGCAGGUCUGAUUUGGAGCACAGUAUCGCAUGGGGCAGCUGUACCAUUGCGUCCCUUCCUUUUUCUCCAGAUGCGAAGGUUCUGUGUCUGUCCCUCAGGGCCCUGGCUGAGACCUUCUGAAUAGCUGCUGGUGCCCACAUCCUGCUGUAACAGAAAUCCAGGCAACAGAACCACACACCUCUGUCAUACCACCUGGCAGAUCAGAUCAUAUCCCUGCUCUGCCCUUCCCUCCACAGUGGACCGAGACCCAUGCAUUCUUUUUCAGUUUCAGCCACCCUCCUCCCUCUUGGGUCCCCUGGCUUGUUAGCUUCCGGCAACCCUCUCCUCUCCUGAGGCCGAGCCUGCCCUUGACUCCCAGAAUGCUGUGUGGCCAACAGGCCAACUAGUGUCUCUCUUGGCCAAACAGGAAUUGUUUGUUGCAAAUAUUUCCUACAAAGCAAGUUCUAACAUCAUAUGGGAUGUGGGUAAUUUUGAUUUUCUUCUUUAUACUCUUACUGUUUUUGCUCAAGUUUUCCAUGGCGAACAGAUACGUUUUUUGUUGUUGUUGUUUUGUUUUGUUUUUCCAUUAGAAAGAAAAGAGUAUAUUUUAAAAGAGCAGUUUGGGAUAAGGAAAAUAAAAACACAUCAUCUUUUAUGUUCAGUAGAACAACAACAAAAUCACCCCAGGUAAGUCAAUGCAAAAAAAUUAGGCAGGCAUGCCUCUCCUCAUCAAGUAAUAAAUGGCCUGUCACAGGUGAGAUGGGUGGGAUGUUAUCAUUAUCAUCAACCUCAAGUCCUGAUGUUCCCGCAGAGCUAGUGGCUAUGUGCUACUCCAGUAAACGCCAUGGGGAUUUAUCACAGGGUUGCUUCAAGGCUCAAAUGAGAAAAUAGAAGAAGUACUUUAUAAAUGAAAGCUAUUUUUUCAACAAAAAAAAUGAAAACCUUCAUCUCCAUUGAGAAACAAGGCUGAACACUGUAAGGAGGGUUGCAGAAUUUAACCUAAAGCAGAUGUGACCUCUGCUAUCUAAGAAUGUAUGUUUAUCUAUUUAUUUAAUAAAGAGUGUGUGGCGCC
Symphalangus syndactylus (siamang) is the source of this 47872-nucleotide long non-coding RNA. RefSeq lists it as uncharacterized. The record is from RefSeq and is a predicted model, not a curated record. Lineage: Eukaryota; Metazoa; Chordata; Mammalia; Primates; Hylobatidae.